Podarcis lilfordi (Lilford's wall lizard) is the source of this 72958-nucleotide non-coding RNA. The record is from the annotation of a GenBank genome assembly. NCBI's taxonomy places the organism in Eukaryota, Metazoa, Chordata, Lepidosauria, Squamata, Lacertidae.
UCUUGUCCACAGCACGCAUUAUAAAAACAAAACAGUGGUGUGAAAUGCUUCCAUGUUUAGAAGGAGAAGGCUGUGAUUUGCUAAUCAAUAAAUCAGGCUGGACCUGUACACAACCAGGUGGGAGAAUAAAGACAACUACGGUAAGCCUUUUCUCUUCUUUGUAUACCUUUGCGUUCCACCUAAACUAUAACUUUUCACUCAUCAAACAGGUGUUCAGCCAUAAAUCCCACACACAAACACACCAUUAAUAUGUGUGUGGAAUCCAAUAUGCUUAGGUAUCUGUCAGCAAUUAUAAGUUAUGCUUGGCCAUUGCCAUAUGCACUCUGGAACUUGUCGCCUUGCCUGCUGCAUGUGGGGUGGCCUUUGAAGACAGCUCAGAUACUUCAGAUGGUCCAUAGGAUGGCACCAGAGCUUCUGUUGAAUAUAAGACUCUGGAAGCAUGUGACACCAGUUUUAUGUAAGUGGCUAAAUUCAGAGUGGUGCUUUUCCUCUUAUACUUAAAUAGCUGGAUCUGAAGCACCUUCUCCUAUAUAUGUCCCUUUGAGAUGUUGCCUAAGGCAUCACCACUGUUUGAAAUAAGGUUUUCUGUUACUGGAAAUCUGUCGGUUUGGGUGCUAGAAUCUGGAUUAUGAAAGUCUGAGCCUAGAAAGCCUUACAAGGUCUACGCUGUUAGAUUUCUAGGCAUUCAGGGAAGUCAAACCGAUAGCUGGCUUUUUACGUAAGAAACUUUUAGAUGAAAAUUUGAGUUGCUUUUUGAGCAUUCUUGACUUGUUCGAUGAAACUUUUAAUACAGUUUUAUGGUGAUUUUGAUCUCUUUUUUUAUUUUGACUGUAAGCUGUUUUGAGCACCUUCAGGUGGGAAACUGAAAUAUAAAUCAAUUAAUGCAAAUAAUUCAGACCAGGAAAGUUUAAGGGAAAUGUCACCGUAUCAAAUAUGUGGCUGAAAUCAUUCUCUGAGUUAUGCAUUUGGCAAGACCCUAUUGCUGUCUUUACACCUCACUUCCCACCUGAUCCUGGCUGUCCACCAGAUGCCUAAUCACCCUAAGCAGCUUACACAGCUUAGUUUCACUAGGCCAGGACAAUAUUCAUUGGCAACCUGCUCCCCCUUCCCCAGGAAAUUUACUUGAGAUGUACUUCCUUUGAUUGUCAUUCACUCAUGUUUGUAUUCCUGAUCCCACUGGUUCCAUGCCAUAUUUUGUUGCAGAACUAAUCAGUGAAAACUGAAUCAUCAUAAUACAUGAAGAGAAACCAGCAUUAGAGUCUAAAAAUAACAAGAUGACUGUAGUUUGUAAAUUUGCAAGUGUAUAAACCCCUAGGGAUGUUGUAGUGAUUUUAAAGUAAGUCAGUGUCCCCCCCUUUUUUAAGGUCAAACUAGACAUGGGCAUUAACCCAUGUUGUUUGGCCUUCUGUUUUCUUCCUUUUUGUUUUUCACAAAUAAUGGGUGAUCUGGAUUUGGAACAGUGGCAUGGGGAGAGGCCUUAAAACUUUGACUGCUACUGUGGCUUCAUUCAGGAUUGUGCAAUGUGAAGAAGGUCCCCAUCAAUCCAGAGACAUGGAAGUUCUAGACAUGUCUUGCACCCAACUGGUGAAUCACCAAACAGAGUACACAUUCAGUUGCCUGACCUCCCAGGCAAUUGACAAUUUCCUUGUUUUUAUUUCCCAGCACAUAUUUAUUGAGUCUUGGGGGUGUGGAGGGCCUGUAUGUUCUAUGGCUGGUGGAUCAUGUUUGGCUUGGCGUUCACAUUGUACAAGCUUUCUUUUAUCCCUCUGAAGCAGCAGGGGUGGUGAUAAGCAGCAGCAGGAACACUGUGCGUAUUGGGACUAGGAUGGAGUGGGGCAAGGUACAAGCAAUGUCAAGGGAACUCUGGUUUGACAGUGGCAGCCCUGGAGAUGUGUGCAUAUAUUGCCACCACCAAAACUGAACUCACCUAAUCUCACCACUGCCAUGCCCCUUCGUCUUCCUGGUGAGUGUACCACUACCACCAGGAAAACUCUACUGCUUGUCCCCAGAGAAUAUUAUGUACAGUAUCUUUCCCCCCUCAAUGGACUAUUAAUUAUAUGUUGUGGUUUUCACUCAUUUGUCUUUAUUAUGGCUUGAGUUCCACAAAGAUUUGCCCCCCAAAGUAUUGUGAGCUGUGCUUGUUAACUGUAUCAUAAAUGAUCUAGAGUAAGGGAUGAGAAGCAGGGUUUCCUGAUGAUGUAAAAUUGUUCAGGCAAAGCAAAUAGAAAUUGCAAGGAGCUCCAUAAGUAUAGCUCCAAACUGGGUGAAUGGGCAGUAAAAUGGGCAAAGGCAGCUCAAUGUAAGCAAGUAUAAACUGAUGUACACUGGGGUUAAAAAAACACACCCAAUUUUACAUAUACUGUAUGCUGCUGGGGUCUGAAUUUGUGCUGGCUGACCAAGAACGAGAGAGACAUUGGGGUCAUAGUGUAUAACUUGAUUAAGACAUCAACUUGGUGUGUGAUAUCUGUGAAAAAGGCAAAUGCCAUCCAAUGGAUCAUUCAGAAAGGGUCUUAACAACUAAACUUUUAUUUAUCAUAAUGGUGUUAUACAAAUCUAUUGUGUGACUACACUUGGAAUACUGUGUACAGUUCUUGUCUCCUCACCUCAGAAAGCAUAUUUAUAUGUUGGGGAAAGGUACAGAAAAGGGCGUCCAAAAUGAUCAAGGAGUUGGUUCCAACAUUUGGGGUUGUUUAGUUUAGGGUAAAAGGAAGAGCAGCUUCUCCUUUUCACGUUUCAGGGAUAUAACUUGGCAGUGUUUUCAAAGCAAAAAAUGCACUAUUCUGUUGGUGUUAUAGGGGAGAUUAAUUUUAGCACCAAAGUGUAUAUAUAUUGUCAAUGAUCCAUCACUACUUAAUUGUUACUUAAUUAAUUCCUUCUUUUACAUGAUGCGAUUAUAAGGCAUGGAGCUUAACAGAACAUUCAUGCUCCAGUUCCUCAGCAGCUAACCUUUUUCAACUUCUGCGAUUUUACUGCUAAAUUGGCUGAAGUGGGAAAUUAAGGAGUAUGAAGAAGCUAAAAGAGAGCUCACAGUAGAUAAAGGGUGUAAUUACUCUGACACAGAGCUCAGUGCUUGGCUAGUAAAAUUUACUAAGGAUCCAGCUUCACCAAGGGAUGUGACUUUCUUAAUAGAGUUUACUUACACACAGAGCAACUUAGCAUCCCCCACUAUUAAUAUAAAUGACAUGCUGGUUGGGUGGGAAAGGUAAUUUGUUCCUUACCAUCAGCUUUAUUAUACUGUAGUUCGUUUCUACUAACUGAAAUCCAAGUGAAUUUUCUUUUGCUACUAUUCCGUACAAGCCCAGCCCCAAAUAAAUAAAUCUAUGGGCUCAGUUAGAUCAAACAAAGGGAGUUGCCUCCAUACUUACCUCCAUCCUAAAUGGUGGCAGAUUUGGAAAUAAACAGGUUUUUCUUACCAUUUUAUAUCAGUAACCAGUUAUCUGAACAUGGGAGUGGGUGUCAGCAAAUCUGCCAGAACUAUAAUCCUACUUCAAGCAGUGACUUCAGCUGUAAAACGUUUUUUUCCCCAAUGCCAAUUACUAUAAAGGAGCAAUAAUUAUCUCCAUGAAAUAAUGGAAAGGGAGAAAGAAAGAAAAAUGUAUCUGACCUUAAACUUUAUUAUGAAUCAGCAGCUUUUUGCUGGCUGAAAGAAUGGCUACUUCUUGAAAACACAGACAUUUUGGAUUUAGAAGGUUUUAACAAUGUAUUUGGAUGGCAUGCAUAUUUAUGGUAUGAUAAGGUCAAAGCACACAAAGCAUUCAAAAAUCAUAUUGUUAGGAAAGCAUUGUUUAAUGUCUGGAUAAGAUACAAAGACUUAUUGGAAAAUAAAACCCCAAGGUGGCUGUCACCAAUGGAAGCAAAAGCUCUGAAAAGGCUCAAUAUGGAGGCCAAAUGGCCGACAUAUUGGGAAAUUUUGGAGCAAGAAGGAGAUAAAUUGAGAUUGCAGAGUUUUGAAAAAUUAAAAAAUAAAGUGAGAGAUUGGCUCCACUACUACCAGAUAAUGGAGGCAUAUAAUUUGGAUAAGAAAAUAGGCUUCCAAGAGGAAAAGUCAAAAUUAGAAACAGAAUUGUUAGAACCCAAAACUAAAAAUUUGUCAAGAAUGUAUAACUUGCUGUUGAAAUGGAAUACUCAGGAUGAAACGGUGAAAUCUGCUAUGAUUAAAUGGGCACAAGAUGUUGGCCAUAAUAUUAUGUUUGCUGACUGGGAACAGUUAUGGACCACAGGUAUGAAGUUUACGGCAUGUAAUGCCUUAAGAGAGAAUAUUAUGAAAAUGAUAUACAGGUGGUACAUGACCCCAGUCAAGCUUGCAAAAAUUUAUCAUUUGCCCGAUAAUAAAUGUUGGAAAUGUAAAGAAACUGAAGGUACAUUCUUUCACCUUUGGUGGACGUGCCCAAAGAUUAAGGCUUUCUGGGAAAUGAUAUAUAAUGAACUGAAAAAGGUAUUUAAAUAUACCUUUCUGAAGAAACCAGAGGCCUUUCUCUUGGGCAUUGUCGGCCAAUUGGUGCCAAAGAAGGACAGAACCUUUUUCAUGUAUGCUACAACAGCAGCAAGAAUACUUAUCGCAAAGUAUUGGAAGACACAAGAUCUACCCACUUUGGAAGAAUGGCAGAUGAAGGUGAUUGACUACAUGGAACUGGCGGAAAUGAUUGGCAGAAUCCGAGACCAGGGAGAAGAGUCGGUGAAAGAAGACUGGAAGAAAUUUAAGGACUAUUUACAGAAAUAUUGCAAAAUUAAGGAGCUUUAGAAGGAUGUUGGAUAGAAACUAAGAGGUUUUUAGCUGUAAUGCUUUAAGAGACAUGGGAAAAAAGGUUAACAAUUGGGUAAAAGAUUAAUGGUAAGGAUUUGCUGAACCAACAAAUUGAAUUGGAAUACAAAGAAGGGAGGUAUGAGGAGGUCCGGGGAAAUAAGAGUAAGGAAGAUAGGUUAUGGAACAUUAUUGUGUUUUUAACUGUUUUAUUUUGUAUGGUUUUUUUCCUUAUUUUUUACUGUUUUUGUUAUAUCUUAAAACUUUAUACUUUUUCUUUAUUCUGUACUUUCAUGUAUCUUUAAUAAAUAUCUUUUAAAAAAAAAGAAAGAAAGAAAGAAAAAUGUAUCUGAUAUAAGGCCCAAAUGGAUAGCUGUUACAAUACUGGAAGAAAUCUCAGUCUGAUCACACAAAUAUUUGCAUUGGUAUCCCAUACCCUCCCAUACUGAUCAAAACCAAGACACUCGUUUUUUUGGUCCUGAGCUCUCGUGGGAGAGAUUUGUGCCACAGCACUGGCCAAAAAAUGGGACAUUCCAGGAUCCGAUCAGAACUAAGAUCACAUAGCUCUCCCUGGGACAAUGGUUCAAUUACUACUGGUGUGUGUGUUUGAGAGAGAGGGGGAAAGAGAGAGAAAGAGAGAAAAUCCUUCAGCUCAGUUAUAAAUAGGAUGCUUUGCAUUUCUCAGGUUUAAUCCCUAGCAGAAGUGUAGAAAAGACAGGUGAUACCCGGUGCAGAAAAUUUCUUGUCACCCCCCCCCCCCGCAAAAACAGUUUUACAGUGGUACCUCGGGUUACAUACGCUUCAGGUUACAUACACUUCAGGUUACAAACUCCGCUAACCCAGAAAUAGUACCUCAGGUUAAGAACUUUACUUCAGGAUGAGAACAGAAAUAGUGCUCUGGUGGCACAGGGGCAGCAAGAGGCCCCAUUAGCUAAAGUGGUGCUUCAGGUUAAGAACAGUUUCAGGUUAAGAACGGACCUCCGGAACGAAUUAAGUACUUAACUCGAGGUACCAUUGUACGUUGUUUCAAAUUUUCUUACAUAGGAAUGUGGAUUCUGAGCCCCUGAUAACAAGUAGGCGACUGUGGACAGAUACUUAAAUCUUCAGGAUGGGUUGUGUUUUGGCUCCACUGAAUUGAAAGUUCAGCCUUCACAACAUAUGAAAACAGCCAAGUAAACAGUUAUUUUCGUGGAGGAGGGUCAAGAUAUUAACUGAUAUGCAUGAAAUUUCAGAUAUAGCUAUAUAAUCCCUAGUGUAGUAAGAUAAGAGCUUUGGAGCAGGCAUUUUUUUUAAAAAAAGAAGUUUUUUAUGAACCACCCUAGUAGGGCAGUAAUUGUUCCUUGAUAGUUUGUCACCCCCCUCCAUGAUGGUACCUGGGGCGAACCCUCUGCCCCCCGCCCCCCUUCUAACACCCCUGAUCCCUAGUGUUGUUGUUUAGUCAUUUGGUCAUGUCCGACUCUUCAUGACCCCAUGGACCAGAGCACGCCAGGCACUCUUGUCUUCCACUGCCUCCCGCAAUUUGGUCAAACUCAUGCUGGUAGCUUUGAGAACACUGUCCAACCAUCUCGUUCUCUGUCGUCCCCUUCUCCUUGUGCCCUCCAUCUUUCCCAGCAUCAGGGUCUUUUCCAGGGAGUCUUCUUCUCUUCUCUUCUCAUGAGGUGCUGAUCCCUAGUAUCUUCAGCUUUUCUCAUAUACAGCAAACCUUGGUUCCCAAACGGCUUAGUUGCCGAACAAAUCGGCUCCCGAACAUUGCAAACCCGCAAGUGUUCUGGUUUGUGAACGUUUUUUUCGGAAGCCUAACAUCUGACACAGCUUCUGCUUGAGUGCAGGAAGCUCCUGCAGCCAAUUGGAAGCCACACCUUGCUUUUCAAAUGGUUUUGGGAGUCGAACGGACUCCAAGAACAGAUUAAGUUCGAGCACCAAGGUACCACUGUAUACCACUGCAUAUGGUCUCUUAUCAUGCCAAAUUAUCUUCAGUUCUUCACUCUUUUCGUGUGUGUUUUUUGAGUGGAGAUUAGUUUAUAAAGUGGCAUUAACACAAUCCAUCAACCAGUUCAAAAAGAAAAAAACACACCAAAGAUCAGCUAUUACAGAAACAAAUCUACAGAGCGAUCUGUUGAAUUGUUGAGAUUAAAAUGUCAAAAAGACACUUCCAGUUGCUGGGAUAGUUGCAGUAUUAACUUGAACCUCUUGCUAAUCCUAUAUAUUCUUUCAAAUCCCCGAUGCUCUAUAAAAUAAAGCUACCUCUUUAUGUAAUAUUACUUUAAUGAUCAGCAAAGGGUGCACCCAAGUCAAAGUAUGUAAAAGUGAUGAGAUAUUAAUACUAAGUUUGAAAAUAUUAAUCUCUCCCGUUGCCUUUUCUGAGUACAGAUGUCCUGCAGGAAAAGGGUUCUAGCCACGAACUUCUAAUUUUCAUCUGUUCUUCAUCCCCUAUAGGAUUAAGUCGGUUUUCAUUGCACAUGCGUAGAUUACAGAGCCAAUCAAUAAUGCCAGUGCAAACUUUUUGCUCCAAGCUUCUGUUUAAUAGCAUGCUCUUGAAACAUUUUAUUUUAAAGCUUUCCCCUUCUUGCCCAGAAGUUGUCAGUGGGUGAUCAGUACAAUUCUCAGGAUUAGUAAUUAACUGUUACUUAUCUAGUAGCUGGUAUAUGCUACUUAUGCUAAAUGAAAAAGAAGGACAUUGAAGACGAGUCUAGAUAUAAGCUUCCUGUAUAGUUUAUUCUAAAGUUUAUUCGGUUUCUAAGUAUGUGUUUCUUUGAAACUCCCUGUCUUUAAUAUGAAGCAUAUGCCUUUGAUGUAAGGUCUGUCACACCUGUGGAAAAUAUUUCUUGUUGCUAAACCUAACCAGGCAAGCAAUUUUGUCGCAAGUGUUUGUUUUUUAAGUUGUUGGUUUUAUAUCAUUUUGGUUAAUUUUAUCAUCUCUACUAUUUCUAAAAUCUGCUUUAACAUUGUGAUGUUAAAUGAAUGUUAUAAUAAUAAUAAUAAUAAUAAAUUUUAUUUAUAUCCCGCCCUCCCCAGCCAAAGCCAGGCUCAGGGCGGCUAACAACAAACAAAUAAUCAAACAAUCAAAUAAUCCAACAUUCUAAAACAUUUCAUUAUAAAAAUUAAUUAAAAUCAAAUUAAUGGCAACCGUUAAGCAAAGUUCUGUGCAGGUUGCCGGAGGUGGGAGUCAGGCUGGGCCCUGACCAAAGGCCUGGUGGAACAACUCUGUCUUGCAGGCCUUGCGGAAAGAUGUCAGGUCCCGCAGGGCCCUAGUCUGUUGUGACAGAGCGUUCCACCAGAUUGGAGCCGCAGCCGAGAAAGCCCUGGCUCUAGUUGAGGCCAGCCUAACCUCUCUGAGGCCUGGGACCUUCAGGAUGUUUUUAUGUAAAGCACUUUGAAAUUUAUUAUUAUUAUUAAGCAUUAUAUAAAUCGUGUGCACCAAGGCCCUGAGGCCUCCUGCAUAUGUUGAAUAAUAACACCUGGAAAUGGUAUUUUAGGUUAAUGGGCAAAUAAAGGCCACCACUUUUACUGGUUACAGAAUGUGAGUGGUAUUGGCUUAGGCACUGAAACUGAAUCGACUACAUCUGACUCCUGCCUAAAUCUUGCUAAACAAAAGAAAGAUACUCUGCACAUGCUCAGAGGCCUUAUGGUCCUUGACAAGUUCUUGGAGUAAGGCCUGGCAUUCACUGAAGUGAAACUGGCAAGUCUUGCCUCAAAUUUAGCCCUGGAGGGUAGGAAGUAUUUGAUUGUUUUACUAUUUUUAUGGAAGUAGCAAUUGACCUAUCUGAUUCAAAUUUGGCCAUGGUGUUCCUUCAUCUUUUUUUACCUUUAUGCGCUUCAAGGUGAGCUCUGAUCUUGAAGUCAGGGGGUUGUAUCUCAUGCGUCUGUCUACCCAAGGGAGCUUAUGGAAGCUUCAACUGUAGUCUGCUGUGCUUCCCGAAAAGCUUCUCCUGAAUAUUGCUUAUAAUAAGCAAUUAACAUAUACUGAGAACAUGCAGUCUACCCACACCUUUUUAUGCAGCAGAUGGAUUGUGUUGGUGGGGCUGGGGACUACUCCUGUGUGGAUGUACACACGUAGAUGUUGUAAAACACAAUAUGGUCUAGGCUUCUGAAUGCCAGGCCACUGUCUGAGUCAUCAUAAGAAUAUUCUUCAUCUGUUGCUGCUGAAAUGUGACUUUCAAAGUCACAAAAAUUAGAUAGAUAGAUAGAUAGAUAGAUGAUAUAGAUAUAGAUAUAUGCAUUUUAAAUACCACAGUUGAAAGCAUGACCUACCAAUAACACAUAUAAUCCCUUCUACUGCUAAUCUAUGAGCUAAAAGCCUCUUAAGGUUUAAAUUUCUUCCUGAAACCUGGAGAAGAACUACUUCUCAAAGAUCAUUUCAUAACCUUGGAGCCAAAGUUGUAAAGGAUGGGAGAUGUGAAUCCUGCACGUGUCCAGAUGUUUGAAAAUUCUGCAAUUUAGAUCAUCCCUAACCAGCGUGGUCAGGGCUAUCUGCAGAAGCUCUAACAUGGCCUGAUCAGAUGAUCAGAUUGUAACAAAAUGACUAACUAAAUAAAAUGAUGUUAUGCCCAUGAGAGUAAUGCUUAAUAACACUUGAUCCUUAUGAACAGUCCUUUAAUUUAGCUUUUCAGCUAUCGUGGGCCCAGUUGCAGCGCAGCCAGCUUUUAAACCCGGGCCAGUGGACCAGAGGAAACUUUGUCACUCUGGUCCAUCUUCCAAACCCCUUUCGCUUGGCUGCCCCUGAUAGGGCAGUAUAAACAUUUGGCUUGGCAGGGUUUUAAUCUGGCAAUGUGGCUGGACUAGGGCACUUAAAACAGCUGGCAAUGGAGAGCCUACUGUGAUCCAGUCAUAUACCAAUUUACCUGGGAAUACUGAAUGCAAGAUACUUCUGAGUAGACAUGUAUAGGAUUCUGUUCUUGGCUUAUGCCUUAAUAAUUGUAGUUUUUGGUCUGGAUGAACAUCAAGUGUGUGCUCUUAGUAGCAAUCAGUGAAGGAGAAGCCAAGGUUUCUCUUUGCAGGUAUUAGGGAAAAAAUCAAGUUGCCCACGAUGAAGGAUUUUUCUACGUACAUAAUAUCAUAUGUAUGAAACAUAAUAUCAUAGUACAAUGCAGCAUAGAAAACUUCCAUCAGAAAAAUGCUCUGCUUUCUCCAUUGACUACUUGGUUAUAUAAAACACUGGCUGUAUACAGUGUUUUAGGAUGUUAGUAAAUAAUAUAUAAUAAGAAGCAGUUUAUAGAUGUAAAGAAUGCAUAAAUAAAUAACCAUCAGUAUUAUUUUAUGAAGUAGUAUUUAUGUUGGCAUAGGGGCGUGGGUGGCGCUGUGGUCUAAACCACAGAGCCUAGGGCUUGCUGAUCGGAAGGUCGGCGGUUUGAAUCCCUGCGAUGGGGUGAGCUCCCGUUUCUUGGUCCCAGCUCCUCCCCUCCUAGCAGUUCAAAAGCAUGUCAAAGUGCAAGUAGAUAAAUAGGUCUAUUUAUCCAGCAGGAAGGUAAAAGGCGUUUCCGUGUGCUGCUUAGUCAUGCUGGCCACAUGACCCGGAAGCUGUCUGCGGACAAACGCCGGCUCCAUCGGCCUGUAGAGCGAGAUGAGCGCCGCAACCCCAGAGUCAUCCACGACUGGACCUAACAGUCAGGGGUACCUUUACCUUUAUUUAUAUUGGCAUUAAGCAAUCUAUUGUAUAAAACAGGAUUAAAAUAAAAAGUCAACAAAAUAAACAGACCAAAAAGAGAGAGGAAAAUACACCUUACCCCUCAGACAAGCCAGUCCUUUGAACAGCUUGGUUAAAACUCAAUACGAAAAGCUGUUGAGAGCACAAAAUUAGCAUGUACUAAACAGAAAAAGCUAAAUCAGAUCCAACCCUCAUCUAUUUUAAGCUGUAAAGCCGGGUUAGCUCUUCCAGACAUUGCAGGAGUACAGUUCAUGUUAGUCCUUAUGCAGACUGGGGCUGAUGGAAGUUGUAACUACAAUCAAAUUUGCAGGGGCACUAUAAAUUCCCCAUUUGUGCUACCAAACAAUGUAUAUUGAGAUUCCUGCAUUGUACGGGGUUGGACUAGAUGGCUCUCAGUGUCCCUUGGAAUUCUACAAUUCUAUAAUUCUAUGCAUAGUUGUAUUAAAUGUCACUGUGCAAUCAUCACAAUAUCCUUAUAUCUGAGCAAAUGGCACAUUUCAUGUUGGCUUAGAACAAUUUUUAAGGAUGGCACAAAGUACCUAAUGGUGAUUUAGAGUAAGAAGAAUCUGCUUUGCUUAUAGAUUUCUCUUUGUUAUAGCUGCCAAGAGAAGAUUAAAAAAAUAAUGGGUGAGAGGUUAGAAAGUCUUUGAGGCUGACAUGGUAAAGAGAAACAAUUCUCAUUUUAUUCUCAAGAUAUUCAAUAGCAGACAUUGUUCUGUUUAACCAUUAAAACAAAGAGUGCAGUGUGGCUUAAGGUGAUGUUCCGGACCAGUUUCUGCAUUUUGUCCCUUGUAAUUUACUGGCUGUUAUUUCAUUCCCCUCCCUGCCAAACAACAACAGCAACCUAUCACUAUCAAAGAUUGAACAUUGACUUUAUUUUAUUACUGAAAAUUCAAACUUUAUUUCAGAUUCCAGUCACCUGCCUGAGAAAGCCAACAAUGUCAGAAAUCCAGAAUAUUUCAUUUCCAAGCUCUUUCCCCUGCUUGUUAGCUCAGAUUAUGGGAAAUGCUGGUUGAUAAUACCAGAGGUAUCUGUGACAGUAAAUUCUUGAACUAUGAUAAAUGAUGAACUUGGUACUGAAGAUUUCAUUUCAUGAAAUGUAUGUUCAAUUUCAGGUGGUGUUGGUUGUUUCUGUAGAAGUCUAAUUACCACAGUGUAAUUUUACUGCAUUGUAUGAGGAGAUAUGGAAUCUCUGUUAAUGCUUGAUUGGUAAAAGCUCACAAGAGAUCCCUUGAUAUUCCAGUUGCUGAGCGAUGAACCAUAUACUUAAUUGCCUCCCAUGCAAAAACAACACUGUCACCUCUAGUGACUUUUAACUUCAUUGAACCAAGUAAAAUGGGCAAGGUUUGCUGAUAGAAGGGGGCAGGUUGAUAAUUUUGUAAAUCUAAGGAUUUGGGUCUUUCAGUCGAUAGCAAUCCUUGUGGAAGGGUAAAACUUUUCAGGGGUGUCUUAAUAGGACCUGACUUUAGGAGGAAUAAACACCUGGGGAGGGGAUGUAGUAGCAACGCAACCUGUUUUUAUAAGGUUCAAACAAGAAAUUUGCAAGAAACAGCACAAUAUUACUAGAAUAAAUAGCAACAAUAUAAUAACAGCAUUAAACAGCAAGUUGCAAUACGUUUAUCAAAAAUAGCAGCAUGCAGUAAUUAAUAAAUAAAAAUGCCAGUCAUCUAUUUUAAAGGACCCCAAUAUUUAGGGUUGCCAUAUUUCAUAAAGUGAAAUUCUGGACACAAAACCUACUCUAUUUCUCAUCUAGAAGAAAAAUUACUCCAUGUCAUCCCCACCUACCCAUCCCCCAACAUCUAGGGCACUUUAUAAUAUUACCACCCUCUACCUCUCCUUUCCAAACUAAAUAAGAUACCUUCAGGUGUGGUUGAUGGUGGCAUCUUCCAUUGUAAACAUUUCCAGGGAGGUAGUCAUGUUUGGUUCUUGUAACAAAAAAAAAAAAAAAAAAAAAAAACUAUCUCGUGGCAUGCUAAAGCCUAACAAAAGUAUGAAUUAUGAAUGGCAUUGGCUUUCAUGGACAGAUGCACAACAUCAGAUGCACAUGAGAAAUAAAACCCAGAAACAUGAGGAGUUAGGAGUCCAUCGUGGUUUAUUGCAAAGCAAUAGGUUACAGUCGGAUCGUUCUGUGAAACCUGCAACCCCUCUCGGUGAUUCAGGCAGUGGUAUUUAUAAAGUUUCAGACAAAGCAUUUCAGUUUUCACCUAUCAUAUACAUCAUCACCUCAUUUCAUGUUUAACACACAUGCUCAAUAAGCACUGGCAAUUUUGCUGGUUCAGUGUGGUUCCCACCGUAUUCUGUUACACUGUGUUAACAGAAUACUUCUGCGCAUGCGCAACCGCCGAAACCCGGAAGUAACCCGUUCCAGUACUUCCAGGUUUCGGCGGUCCAUAACACAAAAAGAAGCAACCUGAAGCAUCUGUAACCCAAGGUAUGACUGUAAAUGUUGGGAACUUGUGUUACGUGUAGCCAUUUGCACCUUGUAGCAACUUAUGUUCCAGCUUUCGGCUAUAUCUUUGUGAUUAUUUAAUGCUGUACUGUUUUUAACAUUUGAUCGGGAGCCGCCCAGAGUGGCUGGGGAGACUCAGCCAGAUGGGCAUGGUAUAAAUAAUAAAUUAUUACUAUUAUUAUUAUUAUUAUUAUUAUUAUUCACAUAUUAGCUGUAUUCCUGCCCCAUUGCUGGGGGAGCGGGGCAACUUGCAAAAUCAUCAGUUUCAUACAGCAGCAGGUUACCGUAACUUUCUCUAUUAGAAGCACACUCAAGGAUUUCCAGGGGCACACAUUUUCACAUUUCUUGUGGCCCUUUGGGCCACCACCACAUUCUCCCCCCUUCAAGCUUAAAAGUGUGAGAUUACUCGCAACAUUUAGUUUGACCCUUAGGUAACUCAUUUUGAUCCUCCUGGGGCAGUGGGUGGUAUUGCAAAAGGAACUGCUUUUGGGCUAUGUCUGAAAGCAUUUCAGAAACCAAGCAACGGACUAAGGCAAGUUGGCAAGGACUCAUGGCCACAACAAGCUCUGCGAGAUAUACCCAUCCUGGAAAAUGUAUGGUACAUUCAGUGGUCUUGGCAACUCCCAGUAGUGGGCCAGUAGAAUCACUGGGAGGUUACAUUGCUUGAGAGCCAGUUAAUGGUUAAGAGUGGUGGACUCGUAAUCUGGUGAACCGGGUUCGCUUCCCCGCUCCUCCACAUGCAGCUGCUGGGUGACCUUGGGCUAAUCACACUUCUCUGAAGUCUCUCAGCCCCACUCACCUCACAGAGUGUUUGUUGUGGGGGAGGAAGGGAAAGGAGAAUGUUAGGCGCUUUGAGACUCCUUCAGGUAGUGAUAAAACAGGAUAUCAAAUCCAAACUCUUCUUCUUCUUCUUGAAGCAUCUAUUUAAAGGUCACAUAUUGUUCCUUCCAUUUCCCCCAUUGCUGAUUCUGCCACUUUCUUUGCUCAAAGCAGGUUCAAUGAAAUAUUUCACUUUCUUAGAAACUGCUGGUCAGUCUAUGGGGAAGGUUUUCCCAGCUCUACGCAUGGGGAGCAAUGGGAAAUGUUGUCCCCGCUACUGGAUUUCCAGUAGGUUUGGCAUUUAAUCCACUUUGAGAGACGACUUUUAAAGAGGAGUAUAAAAUAAAUGAAGAAAAUAAAUAAAUCCCAGUACACUGGUACAAACGUACCAAACGUGCCCCUUGCAACCCUCACUAAUUUAUUGACUCCUAACUAUAUAAGAGGUCAAAGGAACAUUUUCAAAUUAUCCGUACGAUUUUGCUUGAAUAUUGGUAUAUAUGUUUUUUUCCCCUAACUUUAAUUUGCUCAGAAAUGCAAAUGAGAAGAGAUUGCAAGGUUAGGGAAGUUUUCAGAUGUAGUCAAUAAAGUAGAAAUUAUGCACAAUAUGGACGUUUCCAAAUAGCCAACACAUUACAUUAGCAAAAUUGCAGUGCAGAUUCUGUUAUGCAUUAGUCCAUGAAUAGCCUCAUAAAUCUGUGUCUAGAAAGAAAUGCUUAUUACUAACAAGCAUCUCCCCAAAGACCUGUUAUUUUUUAAAUAAAAAAAACCCAAACUUCAUUUUGUGCUUACUCAAAGAUAUAGGAUAAGCACACACACACCCUUUCCUGAAAUGAAUAUAACAUCAGAGGUUCUCUCGGUUCUGUCUAGAGAAAUAUGUGAUUUAUUUUUUUUACAUGGUUCAUGCUAUUUCAUUAGCAUGAAAAAUGCUGAGUGGUGUGUUUUGACUAAAUACGUUUUCAUUACUUCUGUAUAUAAGUCAUCAGUUCUGAACUGAUUUUGGAUAUGUUUAUAAUGCAAAUGAUUUCCAACAAUCCCAGAAUCCCUACUGUGAAAUCACACUGUACAUGUGAUUUUCCUCAUGGAAUUCUUAUGCAUAUAUCCUUGAAUUUGUAUAUUUUCACCUUGAAUUCAUGUAUGGGGGUUUAAAAUCUUUAAUAGCUGAACAACAAUCACACAAUCUAUUGUUGGUGAAAAACUUUAAAUACCCUGUGCAGUGAUACUUUGGUUGUCAAACUUAAUCUGUUCCGGAAGUCCGUUCCAAAACCAAAGCGUUCUAAAACCAAUGUACGCUUUCCCACAGAAAGUAAUGCAAAAUGGAUUAAUCUGUUCCAGACUUUUAAAAACAACCCCUAAAACAGCAAUUUAACAUGAAUUUAACUAUCUAAACAGACCAUUGAUCCAUAAAAUGAAAGCAAUAAUCAAUGUACUGUACUGUGAACUAAAUAAAACAGUAUUGUAGAUGAUAAAAAUUAAAAUUAAAAUUUUUUCUUACCUGCACUGAUGAUAGUCAUUGUUUGGAUGGGGGGCUUUUAUCCAUUUCCGCAGUCACACAAUCAACGAAUCAAUCAAUCAAUAGCUGAACUGGGAUCCACACAGUCACAAAAACAAAUUAACUGAAAAAGCCUCAAAGCAAAAAACGCAAAAUAAAAAGCACCUCAGAACACUGCAAUCGGAAACAGAAGGCUUGAAUUACAAUGGGGGGGGGCACAAAUGAGCAGCGCAACAGGAAACACAGAGGGACUCAAAAUGGAGCACGUUCGGCUUCCGGGGGGGAAAGUUCGAAAACCGGAACACCUACUUCCUGUUUUGUAGUGUUCAGGUUCCAAGUUGUUCAUGAACUAAGCUGUUCGAAAACCAAGGUACCACUGUGCAUGAUUGAUCCAUCAUUUUGGUAUCACAGUGCCUUUAGACAAAUGGACUCAUGUACACAAUCCUGCAUAUGAUAUAUUACAAUUGUUUGGGAGUCUUGGGCCAUUUUUUAGUAGACCUCAAUGCUGUAGCCACCCAGUAAAUCCUCACUUGGCUGUCCCAUCCCCAUCCUUUUGGUUGGACCAAUACCAGAACCAGCAACUCCUUGCAUGCUGAGUAUAAGUACCCAGGAGACAGACCCAUUCAAGAGGGAAUGAAGGAAGGUCCUUACUCAGCUUGUUUCCAUAUGUGUCUGUCCAUUGGCAAUGGAAGAUACAGUGGUGCCUCGCAAGACGAAAUUAAUCCGUUCCGCGAGUCUCUUCGUCUUGCGGUUUCUUCGUCUUGCGAAGCAUGACUAUUAGCAGCUUAGCGGCUAUUAGCGGCUUAGCGGCUUUAAGAAAAAGGAAACAAACUCGCAAGAACUCGCAAGACGUUUCGUCUUGCGAAGCAAGCCCAUAGGGAAAUUUGUCUUGCGGAACGACUCAAAAAAGGGAAAACUCUUUCGUCUUGCGCAUUUUUCGUCUUGCGAGGCAUUCGUCUUGCGAGGUACCACUGUAUCUGAUUCGUGUAUAUUGUACAUGUCACCAAAUCAUGAUUGAUACAUUUCAUGUAUCCAGUUUGCCAGUGUGCGUUGUUAUAUGGAGACAUUUUUAUUUUUAUUUUGUCAUUGUGGCUAUAGUAUUCAUUUUAUACAGCUAUCGUUUUAAGUUUUAUAUUGUAUCUAUCAAAUAGUUAUGUACUACUUACGUUCACAGGCUACCUUGUCUCCUUUGUAUUCAUAUAUUAUUGAUCAGGGAACACUUACUCUUGUUUCGUUUUUUGUUUUCACUUAGUCGUAAAUAAUAAUUUCAGGAUUGGAGUUUCCAGAGAGAAUUCAAGUAUCUCGUUGCAAAAGUAAAAUGUACGAGAGAUGAUGGAGCCAAUGAUUUCACAAGGCUGCUAUUAAAUAUACAGUGGUACCUCGGGUUAAGUACUUAAUUCAUUCUGGAGGUCCAUUCUUAACUUGAAACUGUUCUUAACCUGAAGCACCACUUUAGCUAAUGGGACCUCCUGCUGCUGCCACGCUGCUGGAGCAUGAUUUCUGUUCUCAUCCUGAAGCAAAGUUCUUAACCUGAAACACUAUUUCUGGGUUAGCAGAGUCUGUAACCUGAAGCGUAUGUAACCUGAAGCACAUGUAACCCGAGGUACCACUGUAAAUCUACCAAAAUUAUUAUUAUUUUCUAAAGUGGAUAGUGUUAACACUUCUAAAGAAACUAUCAGGAUAUGCCUAACAUACUUGGAGGUUUAAUUUCUCCCCUUACAAGUGAUGUGAACUUUUUUUUAAGCAGACUUUAAAAUAAGCAUAUUUUGCGGUAGGGGAGGUUGCACAAAGAUAUUUCUUUUUCUAGCUGCUAUUCCGUAUCUCUGUGAAGCUUUGGUUUUGAAGUUUGAUUGUAUGGUACUUUGUUUGAAUUUCUGCUGUCUUAUGUAUGCGACCAAAACUGGGACAGGUGGGAGGAAACUGUUACAAUGUGAAAGAGGUAUUUUUGAAGCAAGAAACCUGGAGGUUUCUUUUACUAGAUGAAACCAAUGGUCUAAUACUAUAUCCAAAAGUGGCAGUGGUGCCGCCAGAAAAAUAAAAUACAUGCUGAGGAGAACACAAAAGGAACAAACUCCAUUUUGGGAAAGGGCGGGAGAAACAUGUGAAAAGUGCCUUCCCUAUAAAGGGAGGCCCAAGUAUUGGUUAUUGUUGAUGAGCUACCAUAUUUUUCGCUCCAUAGGGCGCACUGUACCAUAGGGCGCACCUAGUUUUGGGAGGAGGAAAACAAGAAAACAUCAUUCUGAAUCCCAGAAGCCAGAACAGCAAGAGGGAUCUGGCUUCUGGGAUACCGUCUGGCUGUUCUGGCUUCUGGGAUAACUGCACCAAGCCUCUUCAGGGCAGCAGGAUGAAGGCUCCCCCUGCCCGAAGAGGCUGUGCAGGGCUAAGGCAGAAGCCAGGACAGGCGCGUCGCUAUGCAGUUCUCCCUCUCAGAGAGGGAGAACUGCGCAGCGCCCCUUCAGCGAAGCUGGAUAAGAAACAGAAGGAGACCCUUCUGUUCCUCCUCUGGCUUCCAGGAUGCUGCGAAGCUGGAGGAGGAACAUCGACCCCUCUCGCUCUCCAGGCUUCAGCGAAAGCAAUGCGAAGCCUCCGGAGCACGGAGUGAGCGCUCCCUCUGCGCUUUGGAGGCUUCGCAUUGCUAUCGCUGAAGCCAAGGAGCCUGCAUUCGCUUCCAUAGGACGCACACACAUUUCCCCUUCAUUUUUGGAGCGAAAAAUAUAGAGUGAAAAAUACGGUAUUUCCAUGGCGAGGCCCCAAGGCCCAUCCCAUUUCUUAGAUAAUGAAACACACAGACACCAAUACUUUGGGUUAAUGGGGCGAAUAAGGCCACAAGUUUAUUGGUUAUAGAUGUGAGCAGUAUUCGCUUAGGUACUGGAACUGAACCAACUAUAUCUGACUCCUGCCCAUCAUGCAGGUAGUCUAGUGAGGGUCAACCACCAAUAGGGGGAGCCCUGUUGAUGUACAUCAACUGCGAGCUCUCCCAGGGUCACCGAUGGGGUCAUGGCAUGGCCCUAGCCCAUACCCGGGCUUUUCACAAGAUCCACAUCCCUGGAUCCCUUUAACAUAGGCAUGUCCAAAGUCCAUUUCAGGGGCCUAAUCCGGCCCACUGGUCAGUUUAAUCCGGCCCCUGUGGCAGUUUAUUUCCUGGGGCAAAAUCCUAAAGAAACCUCAACAACUUCAAUCCUAAAAGAAGCUCAACAACUUUGGGGUAGAAGGUCAACAACCUUGGUUGGUCUUUUGGUCGUCCCCCAUGGCUCUUCACUUCAUCACAUCUGGCCCUCUUUGAAAAAAGUUUGGACACCACUGCUUUAACCCCUUAAAGAGGAGCAGCAGGUAAAAGCCACAACCUCCCCUCCCAAAACCAGGUUUUACCAAUGCCUAACUGCCAAACCUUAUAAAAUUGUGACGAUUGCUAUGAGGCAGGCGAAAACCACAUAGCUGGUGCCAACUUGCCAAGUGGGAAAAUUCCUACCCAGCCCCCUCAACAGGUGACCAACCAUGGUCCAUAGCAAGGCCAAGAUGGCGAACACAUGAAAAUAGGGUGGGAGGGCGGGAGACUGAGCCCCCAGCUGCGCGGAUAUUUAAACCAGGUAAGCAAUGGCCCCGGUCAACCAGAUUGGUCGGCCAUGGGGCAUGACACAGCCAGGAUUCCCAACAACACGGCGGCAUCGCCACGCCCCCCGCUGUACAUGGAGUGUGCUCGUGGCCAGCCUGGGAGGGUGAGCGUUUUUGUCAGAGCUGCUUGCACACUUAUGGCUACUCACAAGUAGCCAUAAGGCAUGGCAUGAAAGUGGCAAUCAUCUUGUGUUCUUUAUUCCUACCCUGUGCUGGUAUUCAAGGCAUACUGCCUCUCUAUAUUAGCAAAGCCAGCCCACCCAUGUGGCAAGGUGAGGCGACUGCCUCAGGCGGCAGGAUGCACAGGGGCAGCAGAUUCCAAUGUAGAUCUUUAUUCUCCAUUUUUUCCUGGUGUAGAUUUUGACUCAACAUUCUUCCCUGGUGGGGAGGGAGGCGCCAUUUUGAGGUACCUUGGGGGCCAAAAUGUCUUGGGCCAGCCCUGUACAUAAGACAGACUUUUCACCUGAUGCAAAACAAUUUAAUCUCCUGUGCUCUUCGCAAAGACUUUAACUUUUCAGUUUCAUAUUUCCCAGACUGUUUGCUUUUUAAUGUUUUCUAUUAGUUUUGUAUUAGCAAACUCUAAUGGGAUUCAAUGAAUUGGAGCUGGAUGGAAAAUAGAAGAAAAUCCACUGAUAUAUUUGUUGUACAGUACUACAGAAGAAAACAGGUUGCUUCUUUUUAAGCAGAAGGCACACUUUUCCUUUCCUUUCCUCUCUUUCUUUUUUUUUUACCAUUGCAGAUGUUUGCAGAUCUGUGGCAUGAGAAUUGCUCAUGGUAAUGAUAUUCCAAAAUAUUCUAAUCAGUGUUUAUUCUGCCACGUUUUAUUUUUGUUUGUGUUUGAAGGCAAGCUGGAUGCAGAAAUCUCUGAAAUUGUAAUGAAGCAGCUAGAUAAAAAUAAAUGACCAAAUGCCUAUAAUUUGAAAAAAAUGUGAUAAAAUCACUGCCAGUUUAUGGAAAGUUGCUUAACCGAGUCUCUGUGUUAAAGAGUUCCAUUUUAUUUGACAACAGAAGCACAUUCUACAGUAAAUUUGGAAAGGCAAGAAUGGUUCGGAAAUUUCACCUCGGGCCUGCUUAGAUAACAUUGUAAACUUUUUCAUGCCUCCAUCUUGACAACAGAUCUUCAAAGUCGUGGAAAUACCAUGACAACUGUCAAACUGGAGGCAGAGUUGUACUUUUUCACGGUAAUCCACACCCAAUAUAACAUUCCGCCAUUUAAGUUUCUGUUGUAAUUUGCUGCCCCAAAACAACAAGCAAGGAACCUUUUUGCUUUUCUUCUUUCUGCUUACCCACGCAAUGCAGUUAAUUGGUUGUUUCUCGCUUCCCCACAAAACACUCCUUAAGGGGACGCUUACAAGAAUGCAUUUGAAAUAAUAUGUUAGUGUUUGUAUUUAAUUCUGGAUUAAUUAAAUUGACAUGGUCCCCAAAGUAUAGUGUUGUGGCUUUAAAAAUACAGCUACACGCUAUAAAUUCCUUUGAGGGUCGUGGAAAGCUCCACCCAUUGUGUGUGGAAUAUGUGUUCUCAGAUUUGCCAACUGUCUAUUAUUUUGCUGGUUCAAUUAAUAAAAUCUUGUUAUGGCAGGUAAUAGAAAGCCAAGGAGCAAUGGAGCCAGCUUGAUAGAGCUCCCCCUUUCCCUGAUAUUGACUCAGUCUGUAUUUUUAUGGUCCAACAAACUUCAUUCUAGUUCAACACUUGACCUAAAAAGUUUUGUCUUGCCUUUAUCUCAGAUUCAGAAUUACCACCACCCACAAAGUCCUCUCUUUCUCCACUUCUGUAAUGCUAUCCUGACACCUAUCACUACGUAAACAAUAUUCUGGCUAGAAUAUUUGAAUGGGAAAGGUACAUAUUCUAUGUAUCCAUGUAUGUGUACAUAACCGUGAUGUUCUGAAUAUCCCUUUCCAUUUAUUAUGCAAUAUAAUUUUAAUUGCUGAGGUGUUCGCCGCACAGGCCCAAAAGGAAACAAACCCAUUCACUGGUUCUAGAUUCAGGUAGGUAUGUUGGCUAUGUUGGUCUGAUGCAGUCGAUACACACACACACACACACACACACACACACACCCCGUAUAUAUUUAUUUGCCCAGUAGCACUUAGUUGGUCUCUAAGGUGCUACUGGACAAUAUUUUUUUUUAUUUUUUCAUCCAUUCUGACCUUUAAAGCCCUAAACGGCCUCGGUCCAGUAUAUGUGAAGGAGCGUCUCCACCCCCAUCGUUCUGCCCGGACACUGAGGUCCAGCUCCGAGGGCCUUCUGGCAGUUCCCUCACUGCGAGAGGCCAAGUUACAGGGAACCAGGCAGAGGGCCUUCUCGGUAGUGGUGCCCGCCCUGUGGAACGCCCUCCCACCAGAUGUCAAAGUGAUAAACAACUACCUGACAUUCAGAAGACAUCUGAAGGCAGCCCUGUUCAGGGAAGUUUUUAAUAUGUGACAUUUUAGUGUAUUUUUCAUCUUUGUUGGAAGCCGCCCAGAGUGGCUGGGGAAACCCAGCCAGAUGGGCGGGGUACAAAUAAUAAAUUAUUAUUAUUAUUAUUAUUAUUAUUAUUAUUAUUAUUAUUCACUGGUGUCAAACCUAUUCACUUUCUGUUUCUGGACGCACUUUAAUCUGGUAAUGAAAUAGUUUUAGUCUGUUUUUCCUCCAUCUUAUAGAAAAAAUGGUUUGCUCACAUACAAGAUUUUACAGUUGCAUCACAGGUGAACCUCUGACAUGGAAAAUGGAAAUAAAAACAAGUGAAAUAUUAAACUGCAGUGGAUUCUGCUUUAGGAAGCCAAACUACACAUGAUGUGGGAGAUCUGUGAAGAUUUCCCAUGUGCAUAAUUUUCUGGGGAGGGGAAGUCCAAUUUGGAUUAUAUCUGCAGCCUUUGAAGAGAGAGCCAGUUGUUUCCCUCUUCUCAUGUUGUUUUCCCAAAAUUGCCAGUUCAACUAAACAUAAAUUAAGUUUAUUUUGGACUUUUUGGUGUAGGAGUUUUCUAGUUCAUAUGCAAAUUCAUUUUCUUACACGUGUUUUUAGCCUGUAGAUGAUUUUGGCAUUUAAGCUUAAAGUUGGGAAAAAUAAGCAAUUCACAUUCCUCUGCUUUGAUAAUUUAGCAUAGUAGGUUGCAAUAUUCCAAGUGCUGUGUGUGUGUGUGUGUGUGUGUGUGUGUGUUUCUGUUUGUUUUUGUUUGCUUGCUUUUGCCAAAGAUUAUUUGAAUGAUCUAGAACUGUGAAGUAAGCAUGAACUGAACCAGUUCAUUUAACAGAGGGACAAAUGUGAACUUGAAUGAGUUCCUUUUGGGACAUGUUUUGUACUAGAACUUUUUUUCUUUUUUUCUUUUUUUAAAUGAACUUUCCAAGGUCUGCUUGACUAUUUGUACUGAUACAGAUUGUGGUAUUUUAGAAACAGUAACUUUACAAGGUGAUCAGUUAUUGAACAAUUUCGUCAAUGCAGUAGACACUAGGAAAGUGUGACAGCAUAGUGUAUAGUAAGUCUCCUGUGUUGAGUGGAGCCAUAAUGUUUUUUGUGUCCAAGUGAAGAAAAAUGCCAUCCUCUAUUUACAUAUGUUUUCCUCUCUACUACCUGUUUACUUCAAGGGAUGCGGGUGGCGCUGUGGGUUAAACCACCGAGCCUAGGGCUUGCCGAUCAGAAGGUCGGCGGUUCAAAUCCCUGUGACGGGGUGAGCUCCCGUGGCUCGGUCCCCGCUCCUGCCAACCUAGCAGUUCGAAAGCACGAAGUACAAGUAGAUAAAUAGGUACCGCUUCGGCAGGAAGGUAAACGGCGUUUUUGUGUGCUGCUCUGGUUUGCCAGAAGUGGCUUAGUCAUGCUGGCCACAAGACCCGGAAGCUGUACGCCGGCUCCCUUGGCCAGUAAAGCGAGAUGAGCGCCGCAACCCCAGAGUCGUACGUGACUGGACCUAAUAGUCAGGGGUCCCUUUACCCUUUACCUAUUUAUUUCAGUCCCUCUGGUGUGUGUUAAACUGUUGCUUGGAUAAAGCAUGCAGUCACUCAAGACUGACAUAGGAACUGUUCUGAUUUUUGUCCAAGAAUACACAAAAACAAGGCAACAGGGAGUUAAAGAGAAGUGAAAAAUGGCAGACUCUAUGCAUCCCUUUCCAAUUGCAGAGCAUUCUCUGCUGUGGCACUCCAGAACUACCUCUCCAUAGAGAGCUUGUUUUUCCCCUACACUACCUAGUUUUUGGUGUCUGCUCCAGACACAUUUAUUUCCCCAGGCUUACGGAUUUGCCUGGUGUUGGAUUUUCUGGUGGUGGAUUUCAUGUACUGUCUAAUUCUAGUUCAUUAUUUUUCUUGAUACAUUGUUUUAACAUUCCAUCUCCUGAAAGCAAAUGUUCAAGAAGCAAAGUGGCAGCAACCAUCUUGCCAGAAGGCCACAUGUUUGCUCGUUCACACCAAACCAUGCUCAACAUUGCAUGCAAACCAGGCCACAGUGUGUGCUAAGCUCUAGUUUGCAUAUUUGCACCCCAUUUUUCUAUGCAUCUGGCAGACAGUUGGUCAGUUCUCUAGGGAAUUAAAACCAUUCAAGUACUGGUGUUCAAUGGGUGUUAUCAUUUUGUUACUUCAGUCUAUAAGAAAUUGACGGUUUUUAAUCUCUGUCUUCUUUGUAGUCCAGCUGCUGGCAUGUGAGUUUGCCGCACAGACAGACUGAUCAAUCGCCAUAUGCAAACAGCAGUUGCUUGUUAAGCCCCCACUGGGGUUUUUAUUGUUCUACCAUUUGUGUAGAUCUUCCCACAGGAUUUUUAAGAGCCUCCCCAUCCCAGUUUUGAUCUUUUACUUUCAAGGGAAACUGAGUCUACAAUCUUGUCAUGAAGCAGAAUCAGAUAUCAGAUUUGGAGGAAGGAGUGUUGAAAAGUUGACCUACUGCUUACAGGGAAAUUUGUUCCCAAGGUUAUGCUAUCUAAGACAACCAUCCCACACUGCUUAUUAUCCUAAAAUAAUACUUGCCUAAGAAGACAGCAGUGUAGCUCCCUUCCUUGCCAUAUCUCUCGCAUGAGGUCUCCAAAAUGUUGUUUUCCCCAGAAGAUAAAUAGUACCACUGUCUUUAAGCAAUUAUGCAUUCAUGUGUAUAAAUAAGGAACAAGGAAAUAAUAAGCUGUCUGCUAAAUAGAAAUCUUCAGUCAUGGGCUCCUGCAAGCCAUGGCUCUAAAUCACAGACUUGUGCAUUACCAAAAGGUUUCUGCUUCAGAUAUUUCUAGUGUAACAUUAAGUUGCCAUGACAGCUGCCUUUUGUUACUGUUUUCUCGGCGUUGUUUUAAUUAACUCAUUCUGCUAGAACAGCAGAAAAGGUAGCUAGCUAAUGAUGGUGUCUUCUCAUCUAAGAAGAGCAGGUGACAUAAUGGAUGUCCAGAUGAGGUUUUUGGAUUACUUCUUUAUGUGGCUGUUAAAUUGUCUCUAGUUCUCAAAUUCAAAAUCCAAAUACAAUGAAGCAAGUGUUUGUGCAGGUAUUUUUACUCCCUGAUCUGAUGUUUACCUAACUUUAACAUGACAGCUAUUAUCCUAUCCGAAAUUAUAGAUUGCAGAUAUUAAUGUAUUUGAAGAACAGAAUCCUGCCUUUUUUUGAAGGGAAACAGUCAUCAUAAUGAUAUUUAAUUAACUAUAAAAUAGAUGCAGAUUCAUCUACCAGCAGUUUGCUAGGCAACAGGAGGGAAGGUCAAAUCCUUAUUCCAUAAAUAUCCAUGCCUGUAUAGUAUAGUGUCAACCCAGGUUGAGCACGUUAAUAAGUAAACUAGUCAUCUACGGAAAUAUUGAUUGAUUAAUCUGGAGGGGGUAUUUAUUCAGUAAGGUAAAGGUAAAGGGACCGCUGACCAUUAAGUCCAGUCGCGAACGACUCUGGGGUUGUGGAGCUCAUCUCGCUUUACUGGCCGAGGGAGCUGGUGUUUGUCCGCAGACAGUUUUUGUGGGUCAUGUGGCCAGCAUGAAUAAGCCACUUCUGGUGAACCAGAAUAGUGCACAGAAACGCCAUUUACCUUCCCGCCGGAGCGGUACCUAUUUAUCUGCUUGACUUUGACGUGCUUUCAAACUGCUAGGUUGGCAGGAGAAGGGACAGAACAACGGGAGCUCACCCUGUCAUGGGGAUUCGAACUGCCAACCUUCUGAUCGGCAAGCCCUAGGCUCUGUUGUUUAGACCACAGUGCCACCCACGUCCCAUUUAUUCAGUAGGCCUUCAUAAAAUAUCUCUUGCCUGUUUUUCAAGUUGUUUUAGUUCUGAUUUGACACCAUACAAAAGAAUAAAUACUAAAAUAUUUCAGAUGAUAUUUCCUGCGAACAAUUUAUUCAACAAUAUACUUCCGCCCUGCAUUUUAAUAGAAGUCUUCACAAGGUGCUUAUGAAAACUAUGAAGUUGUAUACUUUUUACCAGGAAAAUGUUAAAAACAGACCACUUUGACAAGGAUCAGAUUAAAAAUGUAAGUAACUAAGAAUAUCCCAGCCAGAUCAGGCCAAAAGUCAGUCCCAUCCAGCAGUUCUCACAGUGGCCAACCAAAAAAUUGCCCAUGGGAAACCCACAAGAAGGACUUGAAUGCAAUUGAACCCUCCUGCUCAUGACCUCAGCAGCUGCUAUUCAGAGGAAUACUGUCAUUGAUACUGGAGGUAAUACUCUGUCAUCAUAACUAGUAGCCAUUACUAACCUCCUUCAUUAAUUUGUCUAAUCGUCUUUUAAAGCCAUUCAGGUGGGUGACCAUACUAUGUCUUGUAGCAAAUUCCCUAGUUUUACUUGAGCAUAUUUAGGGGGGCACAGAUCAAUAAAAAGCUUGACAGAAUGAAAAAGGUCACAGAGAGGCGGAAAGGGAAUUCUCAGGGGAGGAGAUUUCCACCAGUGUGGGACCAACAUUGAAAAACCCUGUCUUGGGUACCAUGGUUGGCCAAAUACACUUUGGCUCCUGAGGUGAGCCACAAAAUGGCGCUCCACACCACCAGCUGAGUGGAGAUCUACCUCAGGAACAAGAGAAGAAUAAAGAUCUACAUCAGGAACAAAGGGGUUAAUCAAAUAAAGCUUACCUGGAGUGUGUUGAAGUAGGAAUCAAAGGCUAUUGUUCUGUUUUGAAUCACACCAGGCAAAUGUAGAGCCCAGGAGACCCCAGAGGGCAGACCCUUCCAUUUCCUCACUACCGAUAGGAAGAGACCAGCAGCGCCUCCUAUUUGUCAAGACUCAAGAAGCUACUGUUGAGGAGACAGCAGAUCCAGCCUCCCAAGGGAUGAUGAUGCUUUCUUUGGAGGCUGGAUCUGCUGUCCCUGUGGGUACUGCCGCCUGAGGCAGUUGCCUCACCUUGCCUCAGGGGUGGACUGGCCCUGCCUGGAAGCAGCCUACUGGAUUGACUUUAGUGGCGGACUAGAAAGCAGGGCAGGUUCAUAAUGGUUUAAGUCAGCAUGGGGAACCCAAAUGUUGCUGGACAUCACACCUGGUAAUGGGGUCUUCACUUUGCUGGUGCUAAGCAGAUCUGGGUCUGGUCAGUGCCUGGAUGUUUGACUGUGUGGGAGCCACAUGUACACCUGCUUAAAUUCCAUGAUAGAAAAAAAGGCAGAAUAUAAAUGGAAAUAAAAGGAAAUAAGCAUUUAGAGCACGUCGAUAUAGCCAUCCGUUGUUUAAAUUAUCCUUCAGAUAACUUAAACACAAACAUUUAGAGUUUUAAAGGUUACUGCUAGCACUUUAAAUUUGAGUUGACAAUGACUGACAGCUUCUGUUCUUUAAAUUACCAUUUGUGUUGCACAAUACAGUAGCCUGAUUUGUAAAAUUAGUAGCUUGAUUUGUAAAAUUAGCAGAUUUCAUUAUGUGAUUGCUACUCUUGAGCUUCAGUUUACUUGCUUAUAUCGCAGCUAUACAUUUAAACUCACACCUACACCAGCACUGACUUCUGGCAUCGAAUGAAGCUACCAAUUACACAGUUUAAUGUUAAUAAUGUUUACUUUUCCCAUUCAGAUCAAUUGGUCCAGAUUCAAACUUUGGGGCUUCAAAGGGCAUUGUGGGAGUGGAGGAAGCUGUGGAAGGGGUAUGUUGAAGGCAUUGUGAAAAGAUGGCUGGGGCUGUAGAGAAGCUGGGUGGGAAGAUCUGAGGUUUGGAAGGAGCUGUGGUAUGUGUUUGGAGCUAUGGGGUGGAAGGAGCUAUGGGGUUUGGGGGGUGAGCUGUAAAGGGUGGCAAGUGGAGCCCCUAGUUUUACAUGUUAAUCCAAAUCAUUCCAGCGAUGAGAAGAGUUCUAAAGUUCCACCAGGGCUAAAAGUCAUUAUAAAAAAAUAAAAUAAUCUAGAAAAUAUUGCAUAGAGGAAUUGCAUCCUGACUCAUUCUGUGACCUUGUACAAGAUAAUUUUCUCUCACAAUUUCUUGUUCAUAAAAGAGAAUAACAGUGGACACUAUUGACUUCUCCUGCACUUGAAGGCAGGCUCUGGCAGAUUGAGCAAGACCAAUAGUGAGUCCAGUGGUCAAGAAGGUGGUUUCUGCAAGUGCUGUAGAGGGAAGUGAGGGGUAGUUGAGGCUUGUCAACUGGGAAGGUAGCUUAUCUAGGACAAGGAAAGCACUGCUUUCCUUUAGAACACACCUGCAAGUCUGAGAAGAGGGUCUUGUCACCUGGGCAGCCCAGGACCUCCAUACACAGAGCCCAGGGAGGUCACUUCGGUGCUGCUAACACAGUGGUUUGCCUUCACCCCCGGAGGCGCACUCCAUUGUCUCUCAAGACAGAUGGGUGCCAACAGCAUCACUAUUGGGCAGUUGAAACUGUUUAUGUGGAAUACAGCCAUACCUUGGAAGUCGAACAGAAUCCGUUCCGGAAGUCUUUUCAGCUUCCAAAACAUUUGAAAACCCAAAUGCGGCUUCUGAUUGGCUGCAGGAAGUUCCUGCAGCCAAUCGGAAGCCGCAGAAGCCCCGUCGGACGUUCGGGUUCCAAAGAACAUUCACCAACCGGAACAGUCACUUCUGGGUCUGUGGUGUACAGGAGCUAAAAGGUCCGAGUUCCAGGGCUUUCGGGAUCCAAGGUAUGGCUGUAUUUCUUCUCCAUCCUUCAGUAAAAACUGUGUAACAAAAUGAUUAAAAACAAGAAAUACAAGAAAAUCAUAAUGAUUUCAGAUAGGGAUGCCUCUGCCAGUCACUGCCAACAAUCCUGAUGAACCACUGGUCUGAAUCACCAUGUUGCCUUCCUUGAUCUUGCAGUUAAUCUGCGUUUGACUGCAUACUAUUGAAUCAAAUCGUCUAACACAGUGGUUCCCAAUUAGCUAAGCCAGGCUUCCUCAACCUCGGCCCUCCAGAUGUUUUGAGACUACAAUUCCCAUCAUCCCUGACCACUGGUCUUGCUAGCUAGGGAUCAUGGGAGUUGUAGGCCAAAAACAUCUGGAGGGCCAAGGUUGAGGAAGCCUGAGCUAAGCACUAUGGACCUCCCCCCCCCCCAACUUGUUUUUCAAAAGCCAAGCCAUGGACCCCCUACUUUUGAAAUUUUUGAUAUCUUUAUGGUAGUUUUUUGUUAUAUGAAUGGUGCCAUGGGCCCCCCAGGAGCGUUAUGCACAGUCCCUGGAGUCCAUAGACCACCAGUUGGGAACCACUGAAUUGACCAGCAGAUUUCAGUGAAGAGCACUGGCAACACAAUAUGUCGUCAGUAAACUGACUUACUUCUUCAAUAGGAGUCUUGUGGAAUACAUAAACACUAUUAUUUAUUCCUUUGGGCAGAAAAUAGGCCGUACAUGAAUGCAAGCGCGGUAUCUGUUAAUUGGUCCUAUAUUUCAAUAAAUUGUAUGUGUUGGAUAAUUGAGCAGUAUGAAAAUGAUGUGUUUACUUUUUGGUCUAAAAUGAAAACCAAAAAUUGGAUAGACCAAAUUCACAUUGUUUCUGACAGCAAUCAGCAAUAAUGCAGUCCUACAAGAACAUUGCCAUUACCCUCCCAAUGGCUAUUUACAGUAAUUGCACAACAUUACUCUCAAUUCUCCUUAAAGCAGUAUUUCAGAGGACUGUUUUAAAUACGUAAAUGGUAAAUAAUUGAAAUAAACGAGGACUUUGCAUAACUGCUUAUUCACCAGUAGGCUUAAGAAGAAAAGCUUCUGGAGAAAGCCGUGCCCAUAUAUGGUACUUAGCUCUCUAAAUGAAGAGGGAUGAUCUUUUGCAGGAAAGUAAAUCUUGUUUGAAGUUAUAAUCAGCACUGUACUAUUCGUACAUACCCCAGCUUGCAUACAGCAAUAUACGGAUUAAUGGAUUCAAAAUAUGAAUCAAUGGAGUCUAUUGAUAUACUGUCAAUAUGUAUAUUGAUAUAUCUAUAUACAUAUAGAUAUACUGUUUUCAGUGGUGGAAAUAAACAUAACCUGCUUGAGUGUCUCAGAAAUGGCAGGUGUGUUCUUGUUUAGAUUAAAUAUCUGGUUGGUACCAUUGGGACGUGGGUGGCGCUGUGGUUUUAACAAUGAGUCUAUAGGUGACUGUGGAGGCCAAUUCUGGAUCCACACGUCCUUCCACAGUGAGGACAUUGGUUUCCGGGUGGGAGUUGAUCACGGUGUGGGUUUGCCAAGCGUGCCUUCCUCUUAGCACGUUUCUCCCUUGCGUCCUGAGUUCGAGUGUCUUCAAAGCUCACGACCCCUUUGGUAAAGGCUGUUCUCCAACUGGAGCUCUCGCAGGCCAGUGUUUCCCAGUUGUCAGUGUUUAUACUACAUUUUUUAAGAUUUGCCUUGAGACAGUCUUUAAACCUCUUUUGUUGACCACCAGCAUUACGCUUUCCAUUUUUAAGUUCGGAAUAGAGUAGUUGCUUCGGAAGACGAUCAUCAGGCACAACAUGACCAGUCCAACCAAGUUGAUGUUGAAGAAUCAUUGCUUCAACACUGGAGAUCUUUGCUUCUUCCAGUACACUGGUAUUAGUUCACCUGUCUUCCCAAGUGUCUUAAUGAUGUAGUAGUAGCAGCAGCAGUAGUAGUAAACCACUGGGCCCUAUCUGGACCACCAAGCUAGGUAGUUAAGCUUGUUUGGUUCAGCCUUGCAGACAGAUAAAAGAAAAGGCAUAGCUCCUUUUGUCUGUGUGCAUGUAGCAAGCAUUUUGCAAUGAUCAGGAUUAAGAAAAAUGGAUGCAAAGAAAAUGGAUCAAAACCAGGCUAUUUGGAUCCAUAUAUAUUUGACAGUGUAUCUCAGUACACAUCAACAGUCUCAGUCUUUGCACCACACAUCAUUUUUCUCAAAAGUCGUAUCGUGGGUUCUUCACAGGGUCAGACACUCAACAGUGUUCCUCUGAGAGUAAGACACAGCCUUGUACACUAUAUUUAUAUCUGCUUCAAAAUGACAGUAUGUGCAUUUUAAUGUAAUCUUGGUACACCCUGUUCACUUUAUGUGUCUUUGCAAGUAAUACAAAUUAAAUUUCGAAUGCAAGAAAGGUCCUUGACAUUUACUACUGAAACAAUGCUUUGAUGAGGGGAGGGGGUGGAAUCUGCAGCACACCACUUCUCCUCAGAUCAAAAUGGACUGUUAUGACCCUCUUUACAGAAAAAAGCACCGGAUUUACUUUCACACUUCUAUUGUGGAUCAAUAUUCUGAUAUUCAGCCCACACCUUUGCCACCAACAAAAUGGCAUAAACUAGCAGCAAGGAUAGCGGAGGAAAUACGUCUUCUUGCAGCGCUGUAAAAUUGUGCCGCCUUUGGUCUGAUAAUUAUUCUUAUUGGCAAUAUAUUCUCAACUCUCACCACUUAUAGUAAAGGUAAAGGGACCCCUGACCAUUAGGUCCAGUCGUGACCGACUCUGGGGUUGCGGCGCUAAUCUCGCUUUAUUAGCUGAGGGAGCCGGCGUACAGCUUCCGGGUCAUGUGGCCAGCAUGACUCAGCCGCUUCUGGUGAACCAGAGGAGCACACGGAUAUGCCGUUUACCUUCCUGCUGGAGCGGUACCUAUUUAUCUCCUUGCACUUUGAUGUGCUUUCAAACUGCUAGGUUGGCAGGAGCAGAGACCGAGCAACGGGAGCUCACCCCGUCGUGGGGAUUCGAACUGCCGACCUUCUGAUCGGCAAGUCCUAGGCUUUGUGGUUUAACCCACAGCACCACCCACAUCCCAUUGAGCCAACCCAAAUUAUGAGCCAACCCAAAUUAUGCUACUCUGCCUUACGUAUAUGUGAAAGAGAUACCUGUUGCUUCUGGCAUUUGCCUGUCUUCAGGGGCAAAGGAAAGCGUUGUGACACUCAGGGCGGGCGUCGCUACAUAGGGCGCAUGUGCGGCAUCGCUACGUACGAUGCAUGCGCCGUACGUGGCAACACCGCACAUGCGCUGUAUAGCGGUUUGCAGCCAGCGCCAAUCCAGCGCUGUACGGACGGUUCCGGGAUCCUCUGCUUGCAGCUGCAGCCACGAAUGGAUGAUCCUCCAUUCACGGCUGUAGCGGCGAUGGAGGGAUCCCAGCACCGUCCGUACAGCGCUGGAGCGGUGCCAGCGACAAACCACUAUACAGUGCAUGUGCGGCAUUGCUACAUACAGCGCAUGCUGUGCAUACAGCAGUUUGCCACCGAUGCCCCAAUCCUCUGCUUGUGGCUGCAGCUGCGAACGGAGGAUCCUGCACAUGCAGCUGCGCCAGCACGAUGGCUGCUUGCACUGCCGCGAGCCCCCGCGGGGUGACUUCUUGUCACCCCGCAGACAUGGAACCCGGGGCAUACUGCCUCCCACCCCCACCCCCCAUUGCGACACCACUGCCUGUCUUGGGAGACAUUGGAUGAGUACACCUUCAGGGAUAAAGUCAAACUGUUGGAGAGUUACAGUGUCUGCUGUGGCUGUAGAGAUACAAACGGCAUCCUUUUGAGUGCAAGAGAUGCCCCGCCCCGGUAGUAGAAUAAGUUGCACCCAAGAUGGACUACCACAGUGCACUCUACUUGGGGCUGCCCUUGAAGAUUUUUGGAAGAAGAAGGAGAGUUUGGAUUUGACAUCCCGCUUUAUCGCUACCCUAAGGAGUCUCAAAGCAGCUAACAUUCUCCUUUCCCUUCCUUCCCUGCAACAAACACUCUGUGAGGUGAGUGGGGCUGAGAGACUUCAGAGAAGUGUGACUAGCCCAAGGUCACCCAGCAGCUGCAUGUGGAGGAGCGGGGAAGCGAACCCAGUUCACCUUAUUACGAGUCUUAAUCACUACACCACACUGGAGUUUGAGAUACUAGGGAGAUUUGCAUUGGAAUCCCUGCUCAGUCACAAAACGCGAUGGGUGGUCUUAGGCAAGUCACCAAUUUCUCAGUCUAUCCUGCAUCUCAGGGAUAUUUUGCAAGCAUAAAACGAGUGCCAAGCUUCUUGGAACAGAUAGGAUAUGAAAACAAUACACACAGUUUGUUUGGUAAGCCUAUUCUGCUCCCUCUAGCUGGGCAGCACUGUGCUCACAAGCACCACUUGUGGCCACCCAGGUGAGGUACAGCAAUGCCAGUCACAUGCAUCUGUGUCUAAUCGACCUUUUAGCAUGGCAGCACCAUAACUUCUCUAGCUCUUGUGUCUCAAAAGGACCAAUAGGCUAAAGGAAGAUGCAGGUAAUGGCAACUCCAGAAAAACCAAGGGUCAGAACAGAUCGUGGGAAAAGAAGGAGCAAUUCAAAUGAAGUGAGGGAGAAGGAGGAAAGAGCGGUUUACUCAAAGCUAUCUUCCCAAUCCUACUUCUUUGUAGAAGGGUGCUAGUUUUAUUAAUUACUUGUUUCCAUCAUUUUUAGCAUCCAAGGACAUCUGAAAUUGUAAUUCUAUCUAAACCGACCCACAGUUUCCCUUUUCCUAUUCCAUGCUUCUAAGUAAGUGGUUGGAGGGGUGAAAAAAUACACCACCUACUUUUUAUAACCUUGAUUGCAAUGCACUACCCCUCAAGAAAGAAUCAUGGUGAAAUAUACUCAGAGUCGCAAAGUGAUUUCAUGCUCUUUAUUCAGCUCAUAGUGGUGAGGAGGAAUGAAUGAAAGUCCCCUCAAAGUAUCUGCUUUAUAUACAUUAUUUAUACAAUGGGCUGCACAUGAUUGGCUAAUUCCGGAAUUCUACUGUAAGCCAAUCAGGUUGUGGAUUCACUUCUAUCUGGAGCAUGAUUGGGUGGUUCCUGCCAACCAAUCAUACUGCUGCAUUAUUCUAGGACCAAUCAGACUGCUGCAUUCUGAAUCCUAUUGUUCUAGGACCAAUCAGACUGCUGCAUUCUGAAUCCUAUUGUUCUAGGACCAAUCAGACUGCUGCAUUUUGGAUCCUAUUGUUCUAGGACCAAUCAGACUGCUGCAGUUUGGAUCCUAUUCAACUCAGUACAUAACACAUGGGAAUGUUAAGAUCUCUUAAAGGGUCUUCAGAUAUCUUGUAAACAGUCUGUGUGGUUAGAGGUGCCAGGGAUCAAAGGUGCAUGCAUAUAUUUCUAUGAGACACCUUCCAGAAUAUAAUAGUCAGCGCAAAGUCAAAGAAGAGAGGUGAAAAACCAAUGAGGCAUUAUAUGACAGUAGCCUCACAUUUUUAAAAAUAGCAGGGUCCCUACAAACAGACCAGUAAGUGGUGUUUCAUGGACUGGAGUCAUAUAGGCAUCAGCAAAUAUAUAUGAUGGGAAAUCAGUCUGAUUAUUUUAGAAAUACGGGCUGCAUCAACCUUUAAUAAGUCAUGUUUUGAAACAUUUUAGGGAUUGCCUAGCUAUGUAUGGAAACAGAAUGGUUUUCUUUUCUUUGGGUUAUGCCUGACUGACUGACUUAAAUACCGAACCAGCUGCAUGUGAACAUGAGUAAUUCUAAAGCUUGCAGCAGAGGGAUGUAAAGUGGAAAACACGUGUCAGCUCUUCUUGCAAAAUCUGUAAAUUAUAGCAACAAUAAAACGAUUUCUUAAGCAUAUUUUCCAGCUUAGUAUUCACCACUGUUUUAUUUGAUGUGGCACUUCAAAAUGCUCUUUCAUUUCUGGAUUAAAAUAAUAGGAUAACAGCAGCUUUUGGCUACCUGACAAAAUUUUUAAAUGUGCAACAGCCCGAUUGAUUGUCGCACUUGCCCAUUUCUUUAAUUCCAGGAAGAGUCAAGUCUUCCUUUUUCUUAUGUUACAAGGAUUUCCCCAUCUCAACUAAAUACUCUGUUUGCUACUCUGAAGUAGUUGUAGCUCUGGUGCUGGUAAUGUCAGCUUAUUUAAAUCAGUCUGCUCUCAAGAGUUGUAUAACUGGGAGCCUUUAAUACUGCAGUACCAGGGAAGUACCAGUACUGGCUGGUACUACAACAUCCCUGGGAUCCACAUAAGCAGGUCUGAACUUUGCUUUGCAGAGGAGGAGUGGGGUGGGGGGGGUCAAAUAGUGUCUUGUGGUCAUGCAUUAAAUGUCCUCAUUUGUUAAUACUUUUUUUUCCUGAACAUAUGUAAUAUCUGCAUUCAUCAAGCAGAGCAGAGAGAACAAAAAAAUUCAGGAGUGAAGUCCUUUCCCCCCCAAAAAGCAUAAACUACAAUUAACAAUGACAGCAUGUAAUAAUUCAUUAUAUAUCUUUAGCAAGAAAAUAAUAUCUUUAGCAAGAAAAUAAGAAGGGAGAAUAGAAUGAAGUCAUUUCAGAAAAUAAACUGUGAACGAAAGCCAAGCUGUCCAAGCCUUGAAAACAAAAACAAAGAACAGUCUUUGAAAUUCUAUGGUGCAAGACCUCUGCAAGCUAUUUCAGAUUUUAGAUCCAAUGUUCGGCAUGAUCUCCUGCAAUCUGAAUAUUUUAUUAAGUGUGAUCACCUUUGACACAAAAAUCCACUUUGAUCCUUCCAAACAUUCACUUAGGUACUGACAGAAAGCUUUUUGAAUAUUAACUUGGUUGUAGACCAUUUGUUCAGCACUGAUAGCGGCAGUAGAACAUCUUAAAACUGAUCUAUAGCUGGGGCCCAAGGAUCUAAUUGCUGGUGUAGAGGUGGUGUAGGACCUCGAUGAACAAUCACUGGAUUCCAUAGCUGAUCUACACAUUUCAAUUACAUUUAAUUAACAAGCUACCAAUUCCUGUAGCUCACAGUGUUGCACCUCUCAGUGCUCCUUCCAACAUUCAGAAUUGCCAACAAAGAAUACUUGCAAUACCAAUAUGCAUUUUCUCUUCUCUUCCUAUUGGUUCAAAUGGUCCAGGAACCCAUACAGGAUAUCAGUCUCUGACAAUCUUUGAAAAUUCCAGUAUGCAGAAGCACAGUCCUAGAGAGAAAAUUUGAGUGGGCAUAAUUAUUUCCUAACCUUUAUUAGGUUAUUCUAUUUAAGCCCUGCAGUUCAAAGUUUCAAGUAAGUGCCCUACAAAAUAAUAACCCACAUUCUCAAAGCAACACAACUAUUGGCACAAGGUGACUCCAUACGUUUUGUAAGAUUACUCCUAAAUGGAAAUUAAUUUACUAAGUAGAAACUCUUAGGAAGGUUAGUUGAAGGGAAAGCGAUUAAAAACAGAGAAAUGUGUCAACAUGGCGCCUAAAAAAAUGAAGAUCCUUUUCUCUGAACAUGAACGACUUUACAAAUCUGAGAAAUUUUCUUACUCCAAUUACCGAUAUAUAUAUAUAUUAAAUUGUAAUGAAUGUAUGGAGAUUAUUGUCCUGUUAAACCAUGGGUAAGUGUUUACAGAGAUAAACUAAAGCAAGCCUUGUCCUUACAUGUCCCCCUCCAACUCCUGCCCCUUCUCAGCCAGAAGCACCUUGUGUUGAAUGCUAAACUUUCCCAAACCAUAAAGGUAAAGGUAAAGGGACCCCUGACCAUUAGGUCCAGUCCUGACCGACUCUGGGGUUGCAGCGCUCAUCUUGCUUUAUUGGCCGAGGGAGCCGGCGUUUGUCCGCAGACAGCUUCCAGGUCAUGUGGCCAGCAUGACUCUGGCGAACCAGAGCAGCGCACGGAAAUGCCGUUUACCUUCCUGCCGGAGCGGUACCUAUUUAUCUACUUGCACUUUGAUGUGCUUUCAAACUGCUAGGUUGGCAGGAGCUGGGAUCGAGCAACGGGAGCUCACCCCGUUGCGGGGAUUCAAACCGCCGACCUUCUGAUCGGCAAGCCCUAGGCUCUGUGGUUUAACCCACAGUGCCACCCACAUCCCUUUACCAAACCAUAAUUUGUAUCAAAUAGGUUAGUGGAAACAAACUUGCUUCAAACCAUGGCUAUGAGCAGAGAGCUUGUUUUUGCUAACCAUGGUUAAGACUGACAGUAGUUUAGGGUUUGGGCCUGAUGCUAAACAGUGGUAAAUUUAAAACAAAUGUGAAAGCUUCUGAUCUGCUCUGACUACACGAGAAAAAGUGAGAGGUUGGGAAGAGUCAGGAAGGAAAGCCAGAGGCAACCAUUUUCCCAGGACAGGUUUAUUCACCUUUAGGCCUUUUCUGUACAUCCUUGUUUAUCCUGCUUCAAGUUGUCCAUGAUUUGAAAUUUCUGCUUCUUUCCCAAAAAGUUUGUGCAUAUUAGUGCAAUUAAAUUUUUAAUGUAACUCAACUGCAUUACAUUAGGUUUGUUUGUGGAACAAACUCUCCCGUAGACAAUUAAAACAAUAUAGAUAGUUGCUGCAUUUGCAGAGUAUAGACAAAAGCUCUUUUCUAUCCUCUGCAGUUACACAGCUAGCACAGGGAAUUUAUUUAGCUAACCAAGCGCAACUCCAGAGCUGUGCUGACAUAGGGAUCUAUGCAGGUGCAAAAACAAGAGGAUAUAUAUAUAUAAGCAACAAUAAUGUCCAGCAUCAUUAGAAACAGACUCCAAUGAAAACUAAAUGCUUGCCAAAUGGAAAAACAAAUGCAUUUUAAAGCAUCUGAUAAAUUAUUGCAGGCAGGGAGGAAAAUAAAACUAUUAAAAUGUAAUUCGGAAUGUAAUUAAAAUGUACAUUGUUGCAGACUACCAGUGCUAAAUUGAGUAAUUUAACUAAGGAAGCAAGUAAAGAUGAUGGAUUUUUUUGUGGCAUUCUCUCUUCAGUCUAAACAUUAAGAAGUUCUUCUCUCAGUUACAUUGAUGUAAUUGGAAUACAUAUAUUUAGCUAGCAUUCCACAGGCAAAAAGCAACAAUACCAUGAAGCCAACCCACACCAUAUUAAUUGGUUUAAGAUGCCUCAUUAUUUUCACAUAAAGUAUAUUUUGGCAUGCUUUUAGAAAACAAUCUAGGGUAAUCUCUUUACAUCUUGCUCUGAAAAGCUGGUGGUUGCUAGAUCAAGUUCUCCAAUAAUAUUAAUAUAUAAAACAGGGCCUCUCAGCCAUAUUAACUCUUGCAAUGUCAGGGGAAAUACUCUCUUUAACACCUCUCUUAUUGCCAUUACUCUGACCUCAAUAAUGUGACCCAUUUGAUUCACUGGCCCACUUCAGGCAAAGAUAACUCAUUUUUUAAAAGCCAAGAGGAGGUAAGGUAAAGGUAAAGGACCCCAUGGCAGUUAAGUCCAGUCAAAAUUGACUAUGGGGUUGUGGCGCUCAUCUCGCUUCAGGCCGAGGGAGCCGGCAUUUGUCCUUCAGACAACUUCCGGGUCAUGUGGCCAGCAUGACUAAACUGCUUCUGGUGCAACAGGACACUGUGACAAGUGCCAGAGUGCGUGGAAACACCAUUUACCUUCCCGCCACACUGGUACCUAUUUAUCUACUUGCGCUGGUGUGCUUUCGAACUGCUAGGUUGGCAGAAGCUGGGACAGAGCAAUGGGGGCUCACCCCGUCAUGGGAAUUCGAACCACCGACCUUCCGAUCAGCAAGCCCAAGAGGCUCAUUGGUUUAGACCACAACGCCACCUGCUCCCAUCCUUUUGCUCCUCCCUCCACAGCCUAAUUAACUCUAGUUCCUUCUUUCAUCAGAAAGACUAGUUCCAAAGCUGGUAACAAUGGUUUUCUGGUAAGACUUUGGUUUGUUAGGGACGUCAUGAAUUAAUCAUGGCUCAUGUGAACAGAGCUGUAUCCUGUUCCUUUGCUCCGACAAAAUGAUCAUUUGUAUAUUGGCUCGUUGAGAUAUUAUAAUCUAAAGCGAGCCACAGAGAGCCAUUGCAAAGGUAAAUGAAUGUGUACAUGAAACCACCAUAAAUUGAUCACCACAGCGCAUUUCCAUCAGCAGUCCAUUAAAUCAUAACUACAUUUACAAGACCGUUUGUGGUUAUUUUUAAAACAUUUGCUCAUUAUGAACAUCAAGGAUACUUUAAAAAUAUAGCAAUAACUAUCUUUGAAGUCAUGUUCAUUCAGGGAGUGAGAAAGUAUUUUGGCACAGUUCCCAGAGCACUGCAGAGUUAGUUGGUGUGUAAGACAUUGUCCCAUGGGAAGAAAUUGUAAGGCUGAAUCACUGUGUUUUAAUUCUUAGCAAUUGUUCUUGCAUGGUCAAGGGGACAUAUGGCAGUAGUGCUCCUAUUUAUUACUUACUGCUACAGCCAUUGGCAGUGAGCCCAUUUCUAUUAGUCAUCAAUACUCAAUGCUUUUAAGCUGUUAUUUUAAGUCGAGUACCAACUUAACCAAACAAUGAGUCUAUACCAAGCCUCAACAGUAAAUCGACUUAGCCAAAGUGGAUGGUCACUGACUUGCUCAAAGAGAUCUCUGAACAAUUUAACGCCACGUCAUUAAACUAUGGAAUUUGCAAUCACAAGGUGAUGUGAUGGCAUUUGAAGAUAACUUUUAAAAAGGGGUAUUAGACUAAUCAGUGAAAGAUACGUCUAUCAAUGGCUGCUAGUCAUGGUAGCUAUAUACUACCUCUGGGAAAGAAGAGUUGGAGAGGGCUAGUACUCUUCUUGGCUUCCUUAGAUACAGCUUGGUCAGCCACUGUUGGAGGAUGGAUGGCGGCUAACGGAUUGAGGUUGAAUCCUGACAAGACAGAAGUACUGGGGGGACAGGGGGCGGGCGGGUGUGGAGGACUCCCUGGUCCUGAAUGGGGCAACUGUGCUCCUGAAGGAGCAGGUGCGCAGCCUGGGAGUCAUUAUGGACUCACAGCUGUCCAUGGAGGGGCAGGUCAAUUCUGUGUCCAGGGCAGCUGUCUACCAGCUCCAUCUGGUACGCAGGCUGAGACCCUACCUGCCCGCAGACUGUCUCACCAGAGUGGUGCAUGCUCUGGUUAUCUCCCUCUUGGACUAUUGCAAUGCGCUCUGUGUGGGGCUACUUUAAAAGGUGACCCAGAAACUACAACUAAUCCAGAAUGCGGCAGCUAGACUGGUGACUGGGAGCGGCCACCAAGACGACAUAACACCGGUCUUGAAAGACCUACGUUGUCUCCCAAUAUGUUUCCGAGCACAAUUCAAAGUGUUGGUGCUGAGCUUUAAAGCCCUCAACGGCCUCGGUCCAGUAUACCUGAAGGAGCGUCUCCACCCCCAUUGUUCAACCCAGACACUGAGGUCCAGCUCCGAGGGCCUUCUGGUGGUUCCCUCACUGCGAAAAAUGAGGUUACAGGGAACCAGGCAGAGGGCCUUCUUGGUAGUGGUGCCCGCCCUGUGGAACACCUUCCCAUCAGAUGUCAAGGAAAUAAACAACUACCUGACUUUUAGAAGACAUCUGAAGGCAGCCCUGUUUAGGGAAGUUUUUAAUGACUGAUGUUUUAAUGUAUUUUUAACCUUCUGUUGGAAGCCACCCAGAGUGGCUGGGGAAGCCCAGCCAGAUGGGCGGGGUAUAAAUAACAAAUUACUAUUAUUAUUCAUGUGAGAAGGAGGUUGCUGGAUGAAAUAGGGUUUGAUGUCAUCCAGAAAGCAUGUGUUAUGUCCAGUACAGGCAACUAUUGUGAUGACAUAAAAUACAUUAAAUACUGAAACAUUUCUGAUUAGCUAGGAACAUAUUUCUUAUAUAAGGCUCGAUUAUGAAACCCAUUUCUUGAUUUUGGAAAAGAAGCAGUUCUAGUCUGCUGUGCUGUGGAUUUUAUUAAAGUGUAAAGUGAAGAAGGAAAAAAAAGAGAGCAAUGCUUUUGACUGACUGUAACUCUCUCAGAAAUCUUAAGUAGAAAGCAAAAAACAACAAAGCCUCAAAACACUUCUGAAAAAUAGGGAAGUGUCAUAAUAUAAUAAAUUUGCUGCUACGUUUUGGUUAAAACCUUCAGCAACACAAAAGCCUGUGUAGUUUUUUCUUCUUAACACAACAUCUCCUGAAAUAGGUGAACAAGAUGUUAUACUAUAAUUCCAUCUAACAGAAAAUUGAGGUGGCUGAAUGCUUAAGAAGACAGUCCCUUUGUCCUCUCUUGGCUGGAAGCCAACAAGGCAUCUUUGGCUCAGUAGAUAUUGUUUCUUCGAUGCAUGUGGUGAAAGAGAGAGAGAUGGCUGCCCUGCCCUGUGCUUUUGUCAUUACCUGCACAGGUGAGGCCACACCCACCUCUAGUCACAUGCAGAGGAAGUCUGUCCCAGCCCAGAAGGAAACAGGAAGUUUACCUGCUGGCUGGACAAACAUCCCUCCCCAUGUGUAAACAUGUUCACUCUAGGAAUGUUGUACUUGACUGCUCUUGUGUUUCACAUCCCACAUGGAAAUCAUGCAGACAGAACAUAAUUUGUCUGUCAGACACAGAAAGCGAGCUUUGUGCAUGCUCUCAAGCUAUCGGAGACAUAGAAUGUUUUUUGCAGCUGUUUGCCAACCUAAAAAUAAAAGUAAAAUUCCCAAUACCCAUGCACAUUGAUUCCCAAAGUGGGACAGCCAUUUUGAUAUCGGAGAGCAAUAUACGACGUACCAGAACAUUACGGUUACGUUUGGAGUUUGCAAAACUAAUGUUUAAUGAUAAAAUCGUUAAUUUUGAAUACAUAGCUGGACUAGAGCAAAUUGCUGAUGUCUUCACAAAGGCUUUGCCAACAGCUAUGCAUCUUAAACAUACACAGAAAAUGCUAGAUGUUUCUGCUAUGCAUCAUUGACUAGCAGGGGGUUGCUGGUUUUUCUUUAUCUUAAAGUGGUCAAUAAUACUACUCAGAAACCAGGUUGGUUUCAGAGGUGUAUGCUGCACACCUGUGGUCACUCGACUUUUUGCCUAAUUAAAAGGGGAGUUACUUUCUGCACUGGGUGCGGGAAGGGAUGGGAUGUGAUAGGAUAAUUGGUUAAUUGAAACUGUAUUUAGUUUGACCAAAUGUCUUGCAAGUUGCUGGUAAGGAGGAGUGUUGGCUUGUAGCAUUUGGUGGUUCUGUUUUCAAAAAUAAAACUUAAGAAAAGAUAUUGUGGAUGGCUUUUUAUUUCUACGCUCCAUUCGCUGCGCACACUCUGUGUUGAUGAAGAAGUUUAACAGGGACAUCUAAUUACCUAAUAUGACUAAUAAAACAUUCACAAAGUCACUGUUGAUAUAUGCUCUUCAUUCAUCCAUUGCCUUCCUCUCUGUUUUCAUCAUCAAGCACAAGCACUUAUUUCAGCCUUUCUCAACCUGUGGGUCCCCAGAUGUUGUUGAACUACAACUCCCAUCACCCCUAGCUAGCAAGGCCAGAGCUCAGGGAUGAUGGGAGUUGUAGUCUAACAACAUCUGGGGACCCACAGGUUGAGAACCUCAUUGCUACAUAUGUAGAUGUGAUUUUGCUUCUUAUUUAGAAGUGUUUUCAUCUGCCAUCAAACCAAUGAAGAUAGCUAGAAGGCAAUGCCUUUGUGGUUUAAUAUACAUAUACUUUACUGCAUCCUGUAGUGGUUUGGAGAAUACUGCCAUCAACUGUUUUUGUCAUCAUCUUACUGAUAAAAGCAGCAUUUAUACCUAACUUUGAGCUAUUGAUUAAAUUUAAACAAGACCAAUUGAAACUGGAUCACUCAUAGAUGUUAAAGACUUCCAAAUCCUGCUGAUCAAGGGAUUGUGCACUUGCCAUUUAACUUGCUCUAUCUUCUUUUGCCCUGAGGGAAGGAAAGUGGAGUUUUUAGAAUUCUGCCUUGCUUGGAAUAACAGGAAAGGACAAAAAGUAAAAAGGGCACGGGCUCCAUUUCCUCCAAGGCAGGUGAGUGAAUCAAUAGCAGUGGAGCUGAGUGUCCAUUUCACUUACUUUUUUGCCUUUUCCUGCCAUGCCAGGGUAGAGAAGAGGUAAACUAAUGAGCCCUGGUAGUCUAAUGUGAUUCAGAGUUUGGGUUAUCUAAUCUCAUUGGCUGGGAUCAGAAGAGCUGCUGCAUUUGGAUGCUGCUUUCACUUUUAAAAGUGCUUUGCAUUUUGGAAUAAAAGGCAGCUGUUCCUACAAGCCCCUUGGGCAUGCAAAAUGAGUCGCAUGGUUCUUUGUACCUCAGUCAUAAUGUUUUGCACAAUAGUUUCUUAUUGUAUUCCUAUUUGCUCCUUAACCUCAUCAUUUUUUUCUAUGCGAAACUGAAGAUUUUUAGAUCUGCAGGUUCACUCACAAAAUAGGUUUUCUUUGAAGUACAAAUGGCAAUUACUGCUUAUUAGAGGCUGCAGGUUCCUAUAAUUUUUAUGAAAAAAACAAAUCCUUAGGGUGGUAUCCCAUUAAGUCAAACUCAAGAGUAGGCCCACUGAAAACAAUUGACAAGUUACUUACAUCCAUUGAUAGCAAUUGAAUACGCCUAAUGUUGGAUGGGACGCGGGUGGCGCUGUGGGUAAAACCUCAGCGCCUAGGACUUGCUGAUCGCAUGGUCGGCGGUUCGAAUCCCCGUGGUGGGGUGCGCUCCCGUCGUUCGGUCCCAGUGCCUGCCAACCUAGCAGUUCGAAAGCACCCCCGGGUGCAAGUAGAUAAAUAGGGACCGCUUACCAGCGGGAAGGUAAACGGCGUUCCGUGUGCUGUGCUGGCUCGCCAGAUGCAGCUUGUCACGCUGGCCACGUGACCCGGAAGUGUCUGUGGACAGCGCUGGCUCCCGGCCUAUAGCGUGAGAUGAGCGCACAACCCUAGAGUCUGGCAAGACUGGCCCGUACGGGCAGGGGUACCUUUACCUUUUUUAAUGUUGGAUAUCACCCUUAAUAAACUUUAUAUAAUUAUGGCUAGUUCAUCAUACACAGGUACAUAUACAUUUUACUAGCCUUUUCUCCAGUAAAUUUCUCUAACCUGGUGCCCUCUGGUCCAAAUCAUAUGGAGGACAAGCUGUUUGGAGAAGACUGCCUCACACAAAGUUAGUCCAUUGGUCUAUCCAACUCAGUAAUUGUUUUUACCAACCGACUUUGCCCCAAACCCAAGAUGAAGACUCAGCAACGGGUACUGGUAGGAAGGUUAUAUUUAUUAAAACAUAACAAGGAAAACAUGUAAAAGUCUCAAAUGCAUGUGCGGGCAGGUAAAACUUAACAGUCCUGUUUGAGUCCUGUUUGUCCUGUCUGAGGUUGUGGGCAAAACCACACUAGAUGAAUGCCAUCACCCAAGCUAGUGCGAUGGAAGUCAAACCAUAAUGGGAAACCAUGCGGGUGCCACAUAGCAGAUGCCAGCAAAGUAUCCUGCCCAAUGUUCAGCAAGUGGCACUUACCAGACCCGAAGCACAGGAAACCAAACAGUCCACCAAAUCUGCUGAUGAAAGGAGGUGGUUGGUGAAUAAUAAUAAUAAUAAUAAUAAUAAUAAUAAUUUUUAUUUAUACCCCGCCCUCCCCGGCCAGAGCCGGGCUCAGGGCAGCUAACACCAGUAAAAUUACAGUUAAAACAUAAUGGGGGGGGGGGAACCCAAUUUAAAAUACAGGUUAAAAUGCAAUUUAAAAUGCAGCCUCAUUUUAAAAGUAGCCCAUAGAUCAAAACCAUAAGGGGAGGGAAGCAUAGGGGUCAGACUGAGUCCAAACCAAAGGCCAGGUGGAACAGCUCUGUCUUGCAGUCCCUGUGGAAAGAUGAGUAUAAUGUGUUCUUUUAUUUAAAAUGCAUCUCUGGGUUAUUUGUGGGGCAUAGGAAUUCAUUCAUUUUUUCUCCCAAAAUAUAGUCCAGCCCUCCACAAGGUCUGAGGGACAGUGGACUGGCGCCCUGCUCAAAACGUUUGCUGACCCCUGGCAUAGUGUAUAUGCCAAGUUUUUGUGUCAGCGUCACGUGGAUAGGUUAUGUAUGUAUGUAUGUUGAUGGUGCGAGAGGUUGGAAAGCCCAGAACAUGGUUGGUUGCAUUCAGUUGAUUUCAGUGAGUUGUUUUUGUGUGUGUGUGUGUGUGUGUGUGUAGGGGAGGGGGAUUGUUGGGUAAAUUAGUCAUAUCAAUUUGUAGGCUGGGGGGGGGUGUGAGUGUUAGGUCAUUGUCUUGUUGGGCUGAAUAUGUAAUAAAGGGGAGCCACACCGGGGUGAAGGCAUCGUCUUUUGUUUGUCCCUGUACUAAUUUCGAUUUUUUUGUUAGCUUUUCUAGUAGAGCUUCUGCCCCAUACAUUUUGGUAUGGGGUCCGUGUUCACUCCUGAUAGGUCCCUCCAGUGUCUAGUUAUGGCACUCCUAGCUGCUGAGAAUAAGUGGGUUCUGAAUUCUUUGUAAUGUGAGUACGCAUUGUUGUCAUGGAAGAUAUUUUAUAGAGCUACAGUGGUACCUCGCAAGACGAAUGCCUCGCAAGACGAAAAACUCGCAAGACAAAAGAGUUUUUCGUUUUUUGAGUUGCUUCGCAAGAUGAAUUUCCCUAUGGGCUUGCUUCGCAAGACGAAAAUGUCUUGCGAGUUUGUUUCCUUUUUCUUAAAACCGUUAAUACCGUUAAAACCGUGCUUCGCAAGACGAAAAAUUCGCAAGACGAAAAAACUCGCAGAACGAAUUAAUUUCGUCUUGCGAGGCACCACUGUAGUUCUGAAGUUUCUCCUAAUACAGCUUCUGUUAUUUUACAGAUCUCUUGUAGGACUGAUGAAUAUGUAAUGUCUUGUUAUGUUUUUAUAUAUGUUGGAAGCUGCCCAGAGCGGCUGGGGCAACCCAGUCAGAUGGGUGGGGUAUAAACAAUAAAAUUAUUACAGAAUAGGGUGUCGCUAUUUUCACCAGAAAAAUGUUGGCGGGUAUGUUGUAAGCCGGUAUAGAUCCUGUGGAUAAAGGCAGGGCCAAGCUAGAUGUGAUGGGGGCGUUUUCCAAUGCUUAAAUAUGGAACCAACCCAUUCAGUAAGGAAAAAAAGGUAAGGAAAAAAGGGCAAGGGGAACCACAGGAAUGAAAAGUACAUGUCCCCUCCUUCUCUGACUGGUGGCUUAUCUCACCCAUGGCUCUGCUUUUCAGUCCCAAACGCACCUCUGCCUUUGGUAGAAGAGCUGUGGGUAACUAGGAGCUUUUCCACACAUCUACUUGUUACGUGCCUAGAGAGGUUUUUUCAUUCGCCCCACUGCUUUCCCUGGGGAAAACAUGCUGCUUACCACUGAAUUGGAGCAAACUUCAAUCCACAUAAAAACAGAUUCAGCAGUAAAUGGUGGGUUUCCCCUGGGGGGGGAUGGAAGAAGUGUGGGUGAGCCGUAAGCAGCGGUGGAGGAAGCCACUUGGGUGCCUGGGGUUCGCGCCCAGGGACGGGGCAUUCCGCGGGGCCUCCAGAGUCUGCUUGCCUCCCCCCACUCAGCCUCCCUACAACUGGGGGGGGCGCAGCAGGCAGGCCGUUUGAGCUGCGUGGAGCCUGAGCGGUACUGAAAGAUCUUCAUUGGCUCCCAGUACAUUUCCGAGCACAAUUCAAAGUGUUGGUGCCGACUUUUAAAGCUCUAAACGGCCUCGGUCCUGUAUACCUGAAGGAGCGUCUCCACCCCCAUCGUUCAGCCCGGACACUGAGGUCCAGCGCCGAGGGCCUUCUGGUGGUUCCCACGUUGCAAGAAGUGAGGUUACAGGGAACCAGGCAGAGGGCCUUCUUGGUAGUGGCGCCUGCCCUGUGGAACACCCUCCCAGCAGAUGUCAAGGCAAUAAACAACUAUUUUACUUUGAAAAGACAACUGUUUAGGGAAGCUUUUAAUGUCUGAUGCUGUAUUGUUUUUAAUCUUUUGUUGGAAGCCACCCAGAGUGCAUAGCUGUCAGCUUUCAGAUUUGAAAAUAAGGGAUCAGCAGCCUCACCUGUCCUGUGGACAGUCUAUGGGAUAUCUAACAAUCUGGGAUAGCAGCAGGAAACGGUGCCGGAAUAAGAGAAUAUCCGGUGAAAAAAGGGAAGGUUGACAGCUAUGCCAGAGUGGCUGGGGAAACCCAGCCAGAUGGGCAGGGUAUAAAUAAUAAAUUAUUAUUAUUAUUAUCUAAGCCACUGCGUUUCUCACAGGAGACACAUGGCUAGGGCACGCUGCAGGCCCCGCGGUGAGUGCCGCCUGGCAUUUUGUCACCCCCCUCAGUGGUGACACCCAGGGCAUCCCACACCCACCGCACCCCCCUUGCUCUGCCCCUGGCUCCCCUCAAUUACAGUCUUGCUUUUAAGAUCUUGUGUUUCCCACACUUCUCUCCGUAAGCGAUUAGGGCAUUUCCCUGUUGAACCGCACAGAACUGUGGCUGUCUCCUCCAGUGUUGACCUGAGCAUCUCAUUUGAAGUGGGGCGAGGAGGGGAGGGGAGGGGACUGUAAAUGCUGUCGCGCCGCGUAAACAGAAAGUAGAAUUCCAGCCCACAAAUUCCAACCGGAUCAUUCUCUUUUCUCCCCGAGCAUAUGUCGAUACGCAGCACAACAGAGCAGGGAAAGCUAAAUAAAUAAGUGUGACAUGAGGUUUUAGUACAAUAACAGCAAGGGAGGAGGCAGGGCACUUCAAUUAAUAAUGGAGCGCAGAGUUCCUGAUAGAGCCGUUCUUUAAUAAUGUUUAAAAGAGGUACAAGGAGCCCUGGGAGAAGCUUUAGAGAUAACUGCAAUGGGCAUUUUGCCCAGCAGUGCCCAUGAGGCACAGCUCCUCCUGCAGAAUAAGUUCAAAAAGGAAAUGGAAAUUGCUUCCUUUGACGAGAAUGGGUAACUUUUGAAGCAAGGCUUCAGCCGGCCCUGACGCAGGAAUAAAGGUGGCCUGAUACCCCACAAUACUGAGAAAAGGAGCAGGCAAAUUUCCGCUUUUCAGAGUUCUCACCAUCAGGAUAGGGGUUGUGCCUGUUGGUGAUUUGAUGGAGAUUUAGGCUGCCAAACUGAAUCUUCCGUAAAAGUUUGUUUGAACUAGAUGGACGCUCAAUGAAAAUUAGCUGCUUCUUCCAUACACUCGCAAUGUUUCUCCUUUUUUCCAGCGUAACUAUGAUGACAAAAACUUCUCUGAAUAUAAUUGCAUUUGGAGGUAAGCAAAAUCUAAAGAAAAGGGGAAAAAAACCCAGUUUCAAUUCAUGUUAUAUGUUAAAAUGAACAACCCUGCAAUGAAAAGAGAAAUACAGUGGUACCUUGGUUUCCAUAUGUCUUGGUUUGCAUACGUUUUGGAUUACAAACACGUUUAACCCAGAAGUGUGCAACCUUUUGUUGGAUUACAACCCAUUUUUUUGGAUUACGAACAAUUUUUUUUGGGAGGCCCCAUUGGUGAAAGCGUACCUUGGGUUACAACCAACUUUGGUUUACAAACGGACCUCCGGAACGGAUUAUGAAUGUAAACCAAGGUACCACUGUACUAAUUGUGGUGGGAAAUCAAAUCGCAAGUAAAUAGCAGUAGGAGGUUACAUAUUUUAAGCAGUAUACCUGUUGACUGGUUCGUAUCUUAUAAGGAAGUGCAGUUUAUAAAUCUUUAAAUAAAUAACUACAGUGGAAACAUAUUUAAGCAGUUGUCAUUGUGGUUAGAGUUCCAGCCUUGGAGACCUAGGAGUUCAAACCCCACUUGGCCAUGAAACCCACUGGGUAGCCGUGGGCCAGUCAUUAUCGCUUAGCCUAAACUAUCUCACAGGGUUGUCAUAAGAAAUAAAUGGCAAGAGAGAGAGCCAUGUACAUUACCUUGCGCUCUUUGGAAGAAAUGAGGGAUAAAAGUACAUAAAAACAAAUAAAUGUAUCUUAACAGUAACUUUGCCAGAGUUCUAGUCUCAAAAAUCUAAGGUUUAUUUUCAUCUUGCCUAGCCUAGAAGGGCUGAUUCCAGGUUGAGUUCAGGCUCAGCAUUUUCUAAAGACAAGCAAAGGCCCAGCACCUGAACAGGAUAAAGUAAUACACAUUCUCUCCAACUCAUAGCACAGUACUUACUAUUUAAACUCCCCUUGCCACUAUUGCUUGGAUAAGUUCAAGUCAUUGCAACCUAAGAAAGUUGGAGAGCGCUGUCGGUCAUCUGUUUGCUUGCCCACUUUCCAUUGUGUCUAAUAACACCUGAGGGGGAUUUGUUGUUGUUGUUUAGUCGUUUAGUCGUGUCCGACUCUUCGUGACCCCAUGGACCAGAGCACGCCAGGCACUCCUGUCUUCCACUGCCUCCAGCAGUUUGGUCAAACUCAUGCUGGUAGCUUCGAGAACACUGUCCAACCAUCUCGUUCUCUGUCGUCCCCUUCUCCUUGUGCCCUCCAUCUUUCCCAACAUCAGGUUCUUUUCCAGGGAGUCUUCUCUUCUCAUGAGGUGGCCAAAGUAUUGGAGUCUCAGCUUCAGGAUCUGUCCUUCCAGUGAGCACUCAGGACUGAUUUCCUUAAGAAUGGAUAGGUUUGUUCUUCUUGCAGUCCAUGGGACUCUCAAGAGUCUCCUCCAGCACCAGAAUUCAAAAGCAUCAAUUCUUCGGCGAUCAGCCUUCUUUAUGGUCCAGCUCUCAAUUCCAUACACCAGCUGAAUCUUUGAAUGUUAAAAGAGAGUGGUCCAGCCAUUCUGACAAAAAUGUGUUUGCAGACACAUUUCUCUCUCUCUCUCUCUCUCUCUCUCUCUCUCUCUCUCUCUCUCUCAGUGCAACUCAUAGUUUGCACAGUUUUCCAUUUCCUUUACCUGAGAUGCUAUGUUUGUUUUUCCAUGGCAAACCAUCAGUAUUCAGAAGUUCAGAAUAUUGUUGGAUUCAGUUGAAUUUGUGUGUCAUUAUGCAAGUGAGAUUGGACAUUAGUAGUGACGCAGUUCCCCAGCUUGUAACCAAGAUGGAAUAUUUCACAUUUGACUGUAUACAUGCAAUUCCAAUCAUACCCUAUAUAGGUCAUGUUCUAUGGUGGAGGUUUGCACAGAAAUCCCAUUAUUUGUGCCCUACUAUUAACAUAUCACCCUGUGUCACAGAGUGACAUUUCUUUCAGUGCAUGCUCUUGAUACCAGCUAUCCUCGUAAAUGUACUGUAGCUUUCACCCUAUCCAUAUCACGUUUCACAAGUCAGCCCACAUUUCAACUCCUAAAUCGUGAUAAAAUCUAUUUGCCAAAGGUAUUUCAUUUACAUUUCUUUUGUCUUCUUUUGAUUGCAUUAUGUAGAACGCCAUGGACACAGUGUUAUGUACACACAUAAUAAAAUUACUAUUAAUAAUAAUAAUAAUAAUAAUAAUACCAGGUUUAGAAUAAUCUUGUGCGUGAUAUAAAAAAUACAAAGUGAGACAUUAAGGAAAUCCAAAGGGAAAAUAUGAAGAAGAGAGGAUCUGACGAAUGGAUUAUUAAAAACACAUGAGGCAAAUGGUGGAAGACUUUUAAAAAAACAAAGAAACACUUUUUAAGAUAGAUAAGGACAAGUUGAGAUUAUACAAUUGAAUAUAAAUAUAGAUGGGAAACGGCUAUGUAUAGUGAAUACUUAACUACUUUAAAAAAAAUUCACCUAUGAUCCUUUUCUUUUACUUCUUUAUUUUUUCUUUGUUCUUUUUUUCCUUUUUUUCUGAUAUCUUAUCUUUCAUUUCACUCUUUUAUUGUGAAUAGCAUUUUAAAGAGGUAUAAAUAACUGUAAAUAUGAAAAGAGACAAAGUAUUCUCUAAUUAUUUUCCUUGGUUAUAUGUAUUUUCUUUUUCUUUUGUAUUUUCUUUUGUUGUAAAUAUGUAUGUUUUCUAAUUUGUACUUAAUAAAAUUAAAUAAAUAAAUAAAUAAUACCAGGCUCAUUGCGAAUUUUGAUUACCUGCAAACCAACUGUUCUAAUCUGCAAAUUCCAGCUUUCUGUUGCUGUUCAUAGGAGCAUAGUAUAUUUUUUUCGCCUUCUAUGAUGUUUUAAAGAAAUUAUCAGCAGGCUUGUUUGGGGCAUGUGCCUUUAUGCAUGUCUUCAUGUCCAAGGAACAGAAAUAAUUGGAGAGAAUUCAGUUCCAGAUGCUAGGGGAACCAUUUCCUACCGCUACCCUGACUCUCUUUUGCCAGAGAACGCUCUGCUGCCCUCCAGUAUCCUAGGAGUUCAGUUCAGUUUAUUGUGUUUACUGUGCAGCCAUCACACAUAAUGAAGUAAGGUGUUAGGUUUGCUGGUAGGAGAUGUUAUUAGAUGAUGGAGGCAGGCGUUUGCAGAUGUUAGCCUUUUUUCAACUGUUCAAUUGGAACAUUCGUGAAAGACGAAGCAAAGAGUUCUGCUUAAGGAAACGGUAAACAUAUGUCCUUAAGCAGAACAGGAACAGACCAUUGAAAACUGUUGCCAGUUGAGAAGGAACUGUUGCUACUAGAAUAGAAGAACUCAUGGUCACAGUCAGUAUAAUGACCUAUGUUCAGGGUUGAUAAAUAAGGCAUCUCUUCAUAACAAAGGGGGAGGGAGCAUGCUUUUACUAUUUAUCAACCUGGAUGUAGUUUAAAACACUACUCAUAAAACUAUUUACUUCUGCUUCCAUGCUAUAUAUGUCUCCACAGUUUUAAGUUACUGGCAGGUGAAUUGCUUUUAACAUUCUUCUUCUAUUAAGAAAGAUACAUAAAGAAAACGACAUUUUCGCAGGAACAAGCUGCUUUUUAUUACAGCCUUAAAAGUAAAAACAGCAUGGCUGUAGGUGGAGAGCAUUUCUUGAAAGCUACAGAUAAUUUGUCAGGCCAGCUGCAGCUCUUGAUAUUCAGCCAUAUCCAAACAGUUUUAAAUCGCACCUGCCUUUUUUUGUGUGUGAAAGAAGGUAACAUGAUAAAUGCGACUGCUUCUGGUUUAUACUGUAUCAAAAACGGUUUGAUAACCCAGAUUGUUAUGGCUAGCCCUAAAAUCCUAUUCCAAAUAUGAAGCUUUUAUAGCUCUUCUUGACUAGGGCGACCCACUGGGUCAGCCCAGGUGGGCAGGACCAAUCCAAAAUUUAGAACACUUUAGCGUCUGGGUUUCCCCAGUAGUGAUGUAUGGAAGUGAGAGCUGGACCAUAAAGAAGGCUGAUCGCCAAAGAAUUGAUGCUUUUGAAUUCUGGUGCUGGAGGAGACUCUUGAGAGUCCCAUGGACUGCAAGAAGAUCAAACCUAUCCAUUCUGAAGGAAAUCAGCCCUGAGUGCUCACUGGAAGGACAGAUCCUGAAGCUGAGGCUUGAAUACAUUGGCCACAUCAUGAGAGGAGAAGACUCCCUGGAAAAGACCCUGAUGUUGGGAAAGAUUGAGGGCACAAGGGGAAGGGGACGACAGAGAACGAGAUGGUUGGACAGUGUUCUCGAAGCUACCAGCAUGAGUUUGACCAAACUGCGGGAGGCAGUGGAAGACAGGAGUGUCUGGCGUGCUCUGGUCCAUGGGGUCACGAAGAGUCGGACACGAGUAAACGACUAAACAACAACAAGCGUCUGGGAAAAUGCUCCAAACUACAGUUUCAGUGGCAACUGCACACAAAACUAAGAGUUCCUAGGCAUUGUUGUGGUUGCUCCUGACACUAGGAUUGAUUUGUUACAGACAGUUUGAAGUUUCAAUAUUACACUAGAGUUGUUUUUUAUCCUCAUCAUCAUAUUCAGGUGUUCAAAGUGCCUCUCAUGCAUUAUCUCCCAGCUCCCAGCUAAUAAAACUUCUGCGGAUGGCAAAUGUAUAGCUAAAUCACCAGGAUUUGUAAGGUACAGUGGAGAUUCCCAGCAAGUGAAGUUUUGUGUGCCCCUCGGGGCAACCAUCUGCCAGCUACCUGACAGCAUUGUUGCGACUGCAUGAGAUAAGAUAGCGUUACUGUUAAAGCUGAAGGAUUGAUUAUUAGGACUGUCAUCUGAAAGUAAAUGGGUUAGCAGUGUCAGAAUAAUUUAGUCAACUGAUUAAAAGAAAUCCUACACCAGGUAAAAACAUUGAGGACAUUAAUUAAAAACUGUUGUGUGAUCAAGGUUUUAGUCUUUGGAAGAAUUAUUACUCAAAAUUUUCAAAUUAACAGAUGUGCAAAAGCUUAAAUCGGCAGCACAUGUUCGUAGGAUAGCUGAUUAAAAAUCUUAGUUUUAUCCAUGAUUAUCCAUACUGAUUAAUUUAUUAGAGCUUGUUGUUGGCCUCUUUCUUCUUUGACCACUCAGCUACUAGCUUGGACAUCCUUUGACUGUUAGCAAUGCUUUCUAUCACUUGUGCAGCCUCAAACACACACACACACACACACACACACACACACACACACACAAACAUGUACAGGUUCUGUUGUCUAGCAAUAACAAUGUAUGUAAGGAAAUAAAUAAGGUGUAAAUUUGUGAAGAACCCAUAUGUGAUGUUGCCUCAUCACCUUCGUGAGACGUUAGACUUCAAAGUAUAGAAUUCAUGUGAGCAUUUCAUUGUUGAUCAAGAUAAAUUCACUGGAGUAUGGUAAAAAAAAAAAAAAAAGCAUUUAGCUAUACUUGGUAAACGUAUUACCCAUACUCUCCUGUCUCUUGGAAACGUAUCACAGAAAUAUUUUGGGAAUUACAAGAAGUAGAAGACUUGGGGUGGGAAGCCUUCUAAAUUGUACUUUCAAAAGGUAGGAUGAGAGAUGUGUGAACUACUAAAAUAGGAGUGGAUUUCACAGUAUGCUGAGAGAAAUGAGAUGGGAAAAAUAUGUUUAGAGCAGGCGGAAGAGUGGAUGUAGAACAAAAAGCAAUGCUUGGUGGGUAUGGCUGUGGCCAUUGGAGGUCCUCUUCAGAGCCCAGCCCAUCAGAGAUAUACCGGACCCCUACCUGAAUUUUCAGCUCUGUCUCUCUCUCUUUCUAAAGACCAUCCUUUUUGCUUUGGGAGGAAUGGUGAGGGUAGAUGUGGAGACAUGAGGGGGUCAUUCUAUCCAGAAGUUCAGUACGAAGUUACCUUUUCCACUUAAGCUGCCUGUGCAAAAUGAAAAGCCUGGGUGACCCUUCUGAAUGGUGUGGGGGAACGUCAUGAAGAGAGAGGGGUGCCAUUAAGUGGGAGAAGAGAACUGGCAAAAAUCAGCUGCAGGCACCUUGCAUAAGCAGGAUACAGGCACCAUACGGUCUCUGUGUAGUGCCACCACUACUGAAGAGGUGCUUUACCCAGUCACAUGUUGCUUUUAAUUCAAAGAGCAAAGUCACCAAAAAUAGUUGAGGGAAGGAAGGAAGGCGGAGAGAGGGAGGGAGGAGUAGCCAAUGUUGCUUAAGACAGAGUUGGGAUUCAAGAUGAUCUUAAUAGAUUGGAGAACUGGGUCCAUACUAAGAAAAUGAAUUUCAUUAGGAACAAAUGUAAGGUUCUAUACUUAGGCAGGAAGAACCAGCUGCAUCAAUAUAAGAUGGGGGGUAUCUGGCUUACCAUAGUACAUGUGAAAAGCACCUAGGGGUCUUAGUAGACCACAAGCUUAAUAUGAGUCAUCAAGGGUGCAGGGGGGGGAGCUAACACUAUUCUAGGCUGCAUCAACAGAAGUAUAGUUUCCAGGUCAAGGGAAGUAAUAGUCGCACUCUAGUCUGCCUUGAUCAGAGCACACCUGGAGUACUCUGUGGGCACCACAGUUUAAGAAGGAUAUUAACAAGCUGGAAUGGGUGCCAAGGAAGGCGACCAAGAUGAUCAAGGGUCUAGAAACCAAGCCUUAUGAGGAAUGGUUGGGGGAAUUGGGAAUGUUUAGCCUGGUAAAGAGAAGACUGAGAGGUAAUAUGAUAACCAUCUUGAAGUAAUUAAAGGGCUGUCACAUGGAGAGUGGAGCAAGCUUGUUUUCUCCUGCUCUGGAGGGUAGGACCCAAGCCAAUUGCUUCAAGGUAGAAGAAAGGAGAUUCCAACGAAACAUCAGGAAGAACCUUUUGACAGGAAGAGCUGUUCGAUAGUGGAACAGACUCCCAUGAGAGGUGGUGGGCUCUCCUUCCUUGAAGGUUUAUAAGCAGAGGUUAGGUAGUCAUCUGUCAUGUAUGAUCUGGUAGAGAUGCAUUGCAGUGGUUUGGACUAGAUGUCCUUCAGGGCCCCUUUCAAAUCCAUGAUUCUGUGAUUCCAUAUCAUGCAUAGUUUGCUUUUUGGUGGGCUCGGUGUAUUGGAUGCUGCUAAGCACUUGCAAAAGAUGUAGUUUAUCCGCAUUGGCAUUACCAGUGAAGUGCAUGUUUGCCUUUGAAGAGUUCAUCUUUUUAAUUUAGCAAAAGUGUGUAUGAUUGAUGAAACAUGGCUCUUAAUGUUUGUCUUCUAUAAAUUCAAAAGCUACAGUGAGGUAUUCAUUUUAGAUAUAUCAGGCACGCCCAGCUCCCAAGAAACUGUGAUCUACUUCCACUAUUUAGAAAAACUGGCAAUGAUCUACCCAAGAUGGUGGCUAACUGCCCAAAAUGUUGAGUUUUUUUGGGGGGGGGAGAGGCCACAAUUUUUUAUAUUACUUGGGGGGGGGAGUGAUCACUUUCUGUCAUCCUGCGAUCUACCUGCAGCACCCCGGUGAUCUACCUGCGACGGCCCAAUGAUCUACCAGUAGAUCACGAUCUACACAUUGUACAUCCUUGAUAUAUAUCAUUGAAACACUGUAAAAUGGCAUGUGCACAACAUCCUGGGUUCCAGAUCUUGCAUCUGAAGAUAUUUGUGCCCACUGUGAAUUAACAUGCAACACACGAGGUCAUUAAACCAGGGCCUUGCAGAGCCAGACAGGUAGAUAAUGUGUCCUCUCUUUUUUUUACCCUGGGGAUAAAUGAAGUUUCCACCAAAUUUUAUCCCCAUUGAGCUAUAUGUACCCCUCGGGUGUAAGUAAUAUUCCUUGCCUAGUCAACAAUUUUUUUAACAAAUGGCCACAUCUUCAUCAAUUUUUCAUCAUUUUCAAAAAAAAAUUUAGCAAAAAGAAAGCCAACACACUUAUCUUUAAGGUACGUGUGGUUUUAAUUUUUGGCAAACAAGAUUUGAAACAAAAACUCACCAACUUUUAACAGCAUGAAAAACGUUCGUGGCGCACUGGCUGCUGGAGCCUUGGUCACCUCCACACACACACACACACCGUGCCCGCUCCUUUGUGGAGCCGAUCACAGGCCGUGCCCUGGACGCUGGGGAAGCUUUUCUCUCACACUGCCAGCCAGGGAAUCCGCCCGCCAACGCCUUUGCUCCUCCGCGUUCGCCCCAGUGGAUCCCCUGCGAUUGUGAAUAUGCUGACCGAGGCCCCCUUUGUAAUCGGAGGCCCAGGCCUGCAUUGAACUAGAAUGCACUUUGUAAAGCACACCCAGGAUACUUUGCUGUGCCUCAUGGAAGUGUGUCAAAGGGUUGUCCCAGCAUCUGCGCCAUUUUGCAUAUCGUAAGGUGCAGGGAAGCAGAACCUCUGAGCAAAACUCUGAUUCUGUUUUGAACAUGGUGAUUUCCAAAUUAUUCUCAUUUGCAUUCUUCAUAGCUGAAAUAAACUGUCAAUCCUAUUUAGAACAGUAAAGAAUUUAAUUUGUAUUGCCCUACCCCAAGUUCACAAUUAAUUUCACAAAGCCAAUAAUAGCCUACACUGUGAUGAUAGUUUCUAUCACCUUUGCAGCCAUCGUGAUUUCUAACUGAGUUUAUUUAAUGCUGAUUAGUUUCAUUUCCUUCUGUCGCUCAAAACUUAAAACUCUCAUAUGGAUUUGUAGAUAGAACAAAUGUUGUAUGGAUGGAGAGAUUCUGCUGGAUAGUCCUGAUAUCAAUAUAUAUUGGUAACUUUUCAGCAUUGUAUUUGUUCAUGGCAGGGUGGAUUUGAUUAAAAUCAAAUUGAUUUAAAUCGUGAUUUAAAUCACAAUUUAAAUCACUAGUCAGUAAGACUUGAUUUAAAUCAUUAUUUUUUUACAGAAAGACUAAUUCUUGCUGGUAUCAUCUUAAUAUUUACAACGAGAUGAAGGUUUCAUUUUUGGAAUAAUAAAUUUUCAGAGUAGUUUUUUCAGUUAUAUCAAAAAUUACUGAUUUGGUUAUACUAUUAGAAAUACAUAGACAGAUAAUGAUGAAAUUAUUGUGAAGUUUAAUAAGUUAACUGUUUAUAUUUGGAAAACUUUUCUGCCGUACUUUAUUGGAAGGUGAAAAAUAAUCAUUUCCUUAAUAACAAUUUAAACAAUGUAUUUAACUAAAACAAUAACAUUAUAGCAUAUGUAUCCAUGUUUGCAAACUGAUGUGUUUAAACAGUUUUUUUUAAAAAAGCUUAGAGUUUUAGCACACAAAUCAUUUUCUGAUGAAUAGUCUUUGGACUAUAAUGUAACUUAAAUAGAAGACUGUCUUUAGAAAGAUUUUUCCUCCAAAAGCAUUUUAUUUUAAAAAUCCAAUUUAAAAUUUUAAAAAAAAUCUGAGUUAAAUCAAUAAAAUCUGAUUUUUUAAAUUAUUAUUUUUUAAAAAAUCAUUGUUUUUUAUCCACCCUGGUUCAUGGUUUAUGCUUCUUGUUAGUCGAUAACUCUGUGCAAGGUUGUACUACUUCAGACUGCAGUUGAAUCUUUAAAGGAUUGGAUAUUUUUCCAUACAUGGAGUGGGGGCAAUCCACCCACAUAAGAAAAUGAACUUGUCUGGGAAUAUGGCUUGAGUAGAGUUUUACCUCCUCGGCUAACUAUAACAUGUUGAUAUGCUUUGACAGUGUGUGUGUUUCUUAAAGCCCAAAGAAUGAAAAUUCUUGAAUUUCCCCCAACAAGAUUUCAUCUUACCCUGUAGACUGCUUCUGAAUGAGACAUCAGUAACAUUCUUGCCAACUGUUAACUUGUAGACAGCCUAUAGUUAAAUAGGGAGCUUUGCGUCCAUAGUUCCACAGCCUGUUUCAAUAAAUGGUCAGGGAAAAUAAUAUUCUGCUCAAGAAAACAGAUGAAAUUGUAGGGGAAAUGGAAGGUUAUUUCCUUAUGUUUAUCCCUACUUCUAGAGACUCGGUUCCUCCUCCAUAUGGCUUUUAUCUCACUCCCAGCUCAUGAAUAAAAGUGCUUUGGGGACCCAUCAAUGUUAAUACAUUGAUGGGGACCCAUCAAUGUUAACUAGAUUGUACCUGUUUAUGGAUAUUUAUUUGGAUGAAGGUUUGGUAACAAGUUGCCUUCUACUGGGGGGUUUGAACUGGGAGCAUUGUGCUUCAGCCCUCGAUUCCUGUGCCAACCUCAGGUUGAUGACCAGGGGAUGGAAGUAAAGGCAGUACCAGGCAGAACUCUAUUCCCACAUUCCCACUUCCUCUUGCUCCUGCUGGUCAUCAGUUGAUAACAAAACCAGACCCCAUCCUGACAAGUAGGGAUGCGGGAGAAAUUCAAUUCAGUUCACAUUUACAGGCAAAUUUACUUUAUUUGCACUUUCCAUAACAGUACGAGAACUGAAACACAGCCAUCCUUCUUCAAAUUUUGCAACGAAGUAUACCAGCCCACCGGUGUGUAUGAAUAUGCACACACCAGAGUACAGUGUGCACAUAUAAGUGGGGAAAAAAACAUACAAAAUGCAUUGUUUUGGGGAAAAUUGCUUCGGGAAAGUGUGUAUAUUAAGACAAUAUUGCAUACAAAUGUUUGUACAGUCGUACCUUGGAUUCUGAACGCCUUGCGAGUCAAACGUUUUGGCUCCUGAACGCCGCAAACCUGGAAGUGAGUGUUCCGGUUUGCAAACGUUCUUUGGAACCCGAACGUCCGACACGGGUUUCGUGGCUUCCGAUUGGCUGCAGGAGUUUCCUGCAGCCAAUCGGAAGCCGCACCUUGGUUUCUGAACAUUUUGGAAGUCGAAUGGACUUCCGGAACGGAUUCCGUUUGACUUCAGAGGUACAACUGCAUUAGGAGAAAUCUGCAAGAAAAUGCUAAUGAAUUUAUAUGAGACCACCUUUUUUUAAAAAAAUGCAAACUAAUGUGAAAAUACGGUUAACUUAAAACUGGGGGGGGGGGAUAGAAAUGAAGCAAAACUGAAAUGGACACAUUUACCCAUCCCUGCUGCAUAGCCAGGUGUCCUACUUUACAGACGACAGUCCUCCUUUUUGAAGGGAUAUCAUAGGUUAGUCUUCUGUUUAAAGGUGUUCACUGUCUGAAGAGGUGUCUGGUCCAAGUCUGAAUUAAAGAUAAAGAAUCCUAAGAAGGGAGAGCAGGAGGGGCCUUGAAGCUACUCAUCAACAGUUAGCACCCGGACAGCAGACUGAACAGAAACACAGGUCACCCGGUCACAGUCUACGCUACUAUGGUGAGAUGCCCUGUAUUUCUAUUUAAGUUUUAGUAGUUAUUUCCAAAUAAGUGUCUAUACAUAAAAAUCAACACAUGGAAUUUUUAUGCAAAUAUGUGCCCUCUUUUGCCCUCCUCUGUGUUGACUCAUUUCCUCUCUUUUGGUAAUGCAUAACUGGCAUCCUGUACCAUGUUCUUGCAGGCUGCAAGAUACCGUAUUUUUCGCUCUAUAAGACGCAUCAGACCAUAAGACGCACCUAGUUAUUGGAGGAGGAAAACAAGAAAAAAAAUAUUCUGAAUCCCAGAAGCCAGAACAGCAAGAGGGAUGCGAAAGCAGCGAUCCCUCUUGCUGUUCUGGCUUCUGGGAUAGCUGCACAACCUGCAUUUGCUCCAUAAGAUGCACACACAUUUCCCCUUACUUUUUAGGAGGGAAAAUGUGAAUCUUAUAGAGCAAAAAAUACAGUAUACUGCUUUCCUGUAGGGCUUACCCACACAUACCUUUUGCUCCGCUGUUUGCAGACACAGGUCCACACUUUGAAGCUCCAUCCCUGAGUGGCUUUUUUUCCUCUGGAGUUUUCCUUGCAAAACCCGGUUCUUAAGGCUGAAUCGGAGCAAACAGCACUUUGGGUUUUCAGUGUUUAUAGAAAUUACAGAGGAAACGUAAGUGUUCAUAAGCACUUACUCUGGACAAUGAAUUGCUGAGCUAGCAGGCUAUUCCUGAGUUGCCAGACAAUGUGAGCUACCUGUUUGCCCCAGGCAUUUGCUAGCCCUUGAACAUGAUCUCCUGUCACUUUGGACAUGUGUUAAGAAGGAGAUUUCAAAGGGACUUAGCAGUAUUGAAUCAGGUAUACAUAUAUCUGUGUUUGCACCUGCAUCCAGUAUGCAUGAAAAUUACCGUUGCAAUUGCAUUAUACAUUUUUCGUUAAUGUGAUGCAUCCCAGGUUUUGAAGAAAAUUGUGUUUAUUUCCUUGCAAAAGUUAAAUAAAAAGACUUAAGGAAUUCCCAUGAAGAAACUCCCACAUCCUCUGUAUAUGAAGGGAAACAUCAGUGAAAGAACCUUAUUACAAGUGUAGUCCUGUUUUUACAUGUCCCUUUGAAGUUACUGCAAGAUAAAUAAAAACAACCUCCUCAGAUAUUUUUUUGCUGCUGAGUUUUCUUUGUCUUGCUUUAAUUUUGGGAACCUAGAACAACUUUGCAUUAUGACUCAUUUUUCUAAGGAGAAUUGGACUUAAUGGCUAGAAGAGGGAGAGAAAUGAUUUAGCUUAUGUAUUAGUAUGACUAGUCUCCUGUUCUUUUCUUUUUAUUACAGACACAGUAGCUAUUGUGAACUUGUUUCUAAAGCUCGAUCUGUUCUAUAAGGACAGAUGACAUUGUAACAGUUUGUGAUAACAUUGCUUUCUGAAGUUGUUGCUGAAUCUGAAUAGCUGAAUGUUUCACUGCAGUCUGGGUUAUUUGCCAUAAAUGCAACUCCCAGCACAGAGAAAAGAUGACCUCUGGCAAAGCAUUGGGUUUGUUGGAAGAUUUUCCCCCACCUUCCCUUUGGAGACAGCCCAGGAAAUUCCAGGUGUCAGAAUUUUUGGCUCAUUGUGCUGCCAGGUUUUAACAAAAGUCCCAAGAGUAGAAUGGGCAGAAUGUUGCUGUUCAAGAAAUUUACAAAUUAUAUAUAUAUAUAUAUAUAUGCACUUUUAUGAACUUUUUUUAAUGUUAUAAAAGAGAGAGACUCUUGUUAUUAUCUGGUUACUAUUUGUGUAUAAAUAUUGUGUAAGAAUACUGGAUUGAAUGGAGCGAAGAAGGUAUGCAGUUGGAUUGUAAAAUAUGAAAAUUGGCAUCGCUGCUGCAAUAUUGUAGGCAUAACCCCAUCUCUUGCAUUUUCCAUCCCAUGAAAAUCUCCCCUCCUUUUCAGAUGGUGUAGCAUAACAUCUGCACUGAUGCUAAUCAUAGCUAGCGUUAUCCAGGAUUGCCUUCAAUCUGGAUUUGCAAGCUAGGAAUCAAGUUUAUUAUCACGUGAAAGUGUCUCUCAAGAUAUGAUCUCCCCUGUUGAUCUCCCCUGUUCUGUAAGUCCAUGGCAAUGAGUAAGAUAGUUAUUAUGACUAUAGCCCUGAAAUCAUAGCAUUUAUGCACAUAGACCUAGUCUAGGUGUGGAAAUUGGUUUUUUGAAAGAAGAAGGCCGAAACUGUUUACUAGAUAAGAGCAGUUAACUUGUAGGAAUCAGGUGCUGCUAAUACAUUGUGUUUUGGACUUUAAGACAGUAGUCUGAUUUGCGCUGCAUACUUGCCAAACCAUUGUUUAGUGUGAACCCACAGGCUCUAGGAGAGAAUGUUGCAGCUGUGUGGCUGCUCCCUGGCCUUUCCACUGCCACACAGUGCCAAGGGAUGGCCUGAGUUAGUUUGUCGUCUGAACCCAGGAUCAUGGUUUAGCUCUACCAGACAAACCACAAGCCAUAAACCAUAAGCUGAACCUUGGUUGCAACUAAUCCAGAAUGCGGCAGCUAGACUGGUGACUGGGAGCGGCCGCCAAGAUCAAAUAACACCACUCUUGAAAGACCUACAUUGGCUCCCAGUACGUUUCCAAGCACAAUUCAAAGUGUUGGUGCUGACCUUUAAAGCCCUAAAUGACCUCGGUCCAGUAUACCUGAAGGAGCGUCUCCACCUCCAUCAUUCUACCCAGACACUGAGGUUCAGUGCUGAGGGCCUUCUGGUGGUUCCCUCACUGCGAGAAGUGAGGUUACAGGGAACCAGGCAGAGGGCCUUCUCGGUAGUGGCACCCGCCCUGUGGAACACCCUCCCAUCAGAUGUCAAAGAGAACAAUAACUACCAGACUUUUAGAAGACAUCUGAAGGCAGCCCUGUUUAGGGAAGUUUUUAAUGUUUGAUGCUGUACUGUGUUUUUAAUAUUCUGUUGGGAGCCACCCAGAGUGGCUGGGGAAACUCAGCCAGAUGGGCGAGGUAUAAAUAAUUUAUUAUUAUUAUUAUUAUUAUUAUUAUUAUUAUUAUUAUUCUGGGGAAAGUUAAACCAUGAGCUACAGUUAAAUCAAGCAAUUUCUUAGAUCAGUACUGCUGCAGAAUGAAUGAGAAGGAGCAAAGUGACCAUGAUCUCAUAUCCAGGAAACCACACGCUUACACUUAGCAUGAUCUGUUAACUAUUGCAUUCAGGCAUAAUUACUGUUAAGAGCUUACAAUUAUUGUGGUUUUAGCCUUUUAUUAGCAGGAAUUUUUCAGUCCUGAGAAUUUGAAGAAACAAAAAAGUAUGUCAUUGGCUAUAUAUAUAUAUAUAUAUAUAUUUAUGAUAGUGUAAUUUAUGAGUUUUAAGGCCAUGUGCCUGUUGUAUAUGCAUGUACGCACCAACCCAGGACUCUGACCUGACCCAGCUCCAAAUCAAUCUGCGAAGAGAGAGCUAAUGUUUAAUUAGGGAAAAUUUGGUCCGCCAUCUUUAUUCAAAAUGAUGCCCAGCAUCCAAACAUAGAUGAAGUCCAUCACCUCUUCUUCAGGAACAUUUGUGCCAAGUUUGGCAACCAUUUCUUGGGAGGCAUCCAAAUUGGAGCAGGUUGUCACUACCCCCACCAAACUGGGGAACAUCUUCAGACCUGUCCAAAUUGGUGCAGGUUCGAACCAUUAAUGGGUCUGGCCCUGUAAACCUGAAGGAGUGUCUCCAUCCCCAUCGGUCAGCCUGGACACUGCAGAUGACAGUACAAGUGGCUGAGAAACUUUCUUGUUCUGUUAUAUGUAGCCAGAGCAAUUAGAAAUCUAGACCAUUUUCAUGCAAUCUGGUAUAAAUGUAUUGAAUACACAAAUGAGCCAGAAACUGAAUACGCACACCGAAUAUACAUGGAAGACUCUGGGAUGAUUUAAUUAGAUGAGAAGGAAAAGAAAGGUGGCAGACCCUUCAAAGCAUUCUAAUGUCAAGUGGUGUUCUUGUUCUUGUUGUUAUCAUUACUCAUUACAUUUAUAUACCACUCUUCAUCCAAAGAUCCCAGGGUGGUUUAUAUCAUACAGUAGUCCACCCCACUGUUGUAACCGUGUAUGUUGAGAACAAUUAGAUUAUAUUUCUUUCAUUGCACCAUGACACAUUGCUUGUACAGUGGUACCUUGGUUCUCAAACUUAAUCCGUUCCAAAACCAAAGCGUUCCAAAACCAAAGCGUUCCAAAACCAAGGCGCACUUGGUCACAGAAAGUAAUGCAAUACAGAUUAAUCCAUUACAGACUUUCAAAAACAACCCCUAAAACAGCAAUUUAACAUGAAUUUUACUAUCUAACGAGACCAGCGAUCCACAAAAUGAAAGCAAUAAACAAUGUUGUCCAAGUUGUUUGAGUACCAAGGUGUUUGAGAACCAAGGUACCACUGUAUUACUGUAAAUAUUUUCCUGAAAGGUACUGUUUUUGUCUGUAUGUUGAUAAUGUUAUUUCUUGCAAAAUGUUUUUGAAAAAACAGCACAGUAGAAUACAGCCCCCAAUCAGGCGCCUUCUUCAGUUCUCUCAUAGCAUCAGAAUAGUGUGUCUGUGCUUUUAUCAUGGAACACAGACAUUGGGUGUGGCUAUUUUCUGCUUCUGGGGUGUGGGUGCGUGUCUCUGUGUGCAUUCGUUUCUGUAGCCAAAACUUCAGGCAUUCCAAGCAUGUGUCUUUUCUUGAGGGAAAUCUUUGUCACUGCCAUGUGUACAGAGAGAUCUGGGUUUUCACCUUCCCAUGCCAUCUGGACUGCAAUUAUUUCUUCAGACCCUAGCCAUUUAAUUUGGUAGUGUAUUUUAUAACUGCUAAUACUCGGUGCUUCUAUAGUUCCCGAGAGAUUCUCUCUUUGCUCAUAGCCUCAAAAAAGGGGGGAGGAAAUUAAAUGCCUUGUAGUUUCUCAACAACUUUAAACAUUAAAAUUGUUCUAGUUUUCUUAAGUAUGGCCAAAGCUGGAAAAAGGAAAAGGAAAACCUUGUAUGCACUUAGCACUAAGAACAGGAUUCCAAAAUCUUCAGGUAGCCUUGUUAGCCAGGCUAACAUUUGUGUUUGCCAAAAUCUCUGCCCCUUCAAUGGACAAGGGUUUUGUCUCUGACAUAUCACACUGUACUUUGAGUCCUAGCACAAAUGUGGGGAAUGUGGACUUGUCUCUCUCCUAGCCCCGUUAUACAACCUUUAGAAGUUCUUGAGAUGUCUCCAGUUCAGUUAUGACUGUCUUCAUCCUUGUCAUGCUAUUCUGAGACACUCAGAAGGCAGUGAAAUAUUGCAUUCUCUUUUUAAGCGCAAGUUGUGAUUUGCCAAGGAAAUUAAGCAUGGCUCGGUUUAUCUCUGCUGCAGUUUAUUUAUGUCCACAUUAUUUUCUAUUUAUGCUACCUUAUUUCACUUUUACGCUGUUAAACUUUGUUUCGGAAUGGCCUGAUGGCUAGAAAUCUCACUGCGCUCUGAUUGAUUUCAAAACCUGGUACAAUGUCAAGUAAAGCCCAAUCCUUCUCUAGGCUCCAGAAAAUGGGACUCUCUCAAGUUGAAAUGUUGUCGGGAGAGUAAACACUGUACUCACAAACACAACUGUGAACCCCUGACCAAGAAGCAGAGCUUUGCUUUUAGAAAGCAAAGUUCUGAAGCGGAGGACAAGUUUAAUGCUAAUGGGUUCUUGUUGAACUGCUGCAUGUGAUUAUCAGUUCAGAAAUGGCACAAUGAUAAAUAGCAGAUCGUGUAUCUCACUGGAUUUGACUAAUGACAUUGCCACUGCAGUACCCUGGCUUCUCUCUUCACAUCAGGCUUGUUUGCUUUUCCAGUUCAUUACAUUUCUUCUGUGUAGCAGUUUUAUGACCCCCUAAGGUCAGUGUGAUACCUGUUAUUAGAAGGAGCAGGGAAGAGAAUGCAAACUAUAGUGUUAAUUUAAGCUGGAAGUCCAUUUUGAUUUCAGUAUUUACUAAUGUUGAGAUUAACUAUUUGGGAGGGGGGGAAUAUACAGUGAUUGCCAAGUUGUGCAUUCAUGGGACUCUGCUACAUUAGUCAAAAGACAGUGUUAUAAAUGCGUUAUAACACUGUGACAUCAGAUGGCGCUGUAGAGCUGAAAUUGCAACUGUCAGCUUUCAGUUGUCAGCUUUACAACUUUUUUUACAAAUCGUUUUCAGAGCGUACUUUAUAGCUGUGUAGAUCUAGCCUUGGUUCAUACACUAUUAGUAGUCGAACAACUUGAAGCAGAUUUAACUUUACUGCGGAGUAUGGGCACACAUCCAAUCAAAAGAUCUUUGCCCAGACAACUAUGUUUACUACAAAGAAUACAAAUUCCAGGCAACUGGGACAAAUAAACAGCCUGAUUUUUUUAAAAAAACAACAACAAAGCAAUGGACCAGAGGUAAUUUGGAUUCAUCAAGAGUUCAACGAAUUGUUGUUGAUUUUGGUAGUUGGACUAUCUUUAUAAAACCAGUGAUUGGUUUCUAGAAGAAAACCAAAGGUAAGAGUCCUACAAGGAGUAAAAGCAUGAUUGGUCAAAUGUUCUGACCAGGAGUCAAAGAAGUAAAUUGGACUUAGAGAUUUAGAGAAUGAGAGAACCCUGAUGGGAGAGGACCUGAAAUCCAGUGGCGACAACUGAGGAGAGCAAGAAGCCAUGCUGUGAGGUGGUAGUGAAAUUUCCAUAGGCAACUUGGUUUUGCAUUAGACCUAUUAUAUAAGAAACGGUAGAGACAUUUUAUCGUUGUUAUAUUUGUUUAGAACAUUUCUGAGCUGUUCCUUGCGAGAUUCCUCAUAAGAAAUCAAAGUUCAGUGUGUGUAUGUGUGUGUGUCUAGUCCUGCCCUUAGUCCCUCUCUGUGGUGAAAUCUAAACAGAGCAGAAUUAAUUUUUGUUUGUCCAGCACUCCCUUUUGAGAUUAACAUUCCUGUCAGUAAUUGUUUUGCAGUACUUGAUUCAAAGGCUACAGUGUUGGCAGUGGCCUCAAAUCAAAUUGCUAUUCGCUUACCUGUGGCAUCAAAACCUACAUUCAAACCAGAUUGUUCUGGUUGUUGAUGGGAUCAGCUGUAGAUGAGUGAAGACUGAAUUUUGCAUAUUGUUUCAAAAAUAACUAGUAAUACCUUUUCAAGUAAAGCAGGAUUGUGGGGUGGGGAUUUGAAAAAGUAAAGAAGCCAAGAGGGUGGAGAAUGAGUGUGGCAAUCACACAGGGUCCCCGGAUGUUUCACCGUCUCUUGAUCCCUGUGCCACCACUUCAUUUCUUGCUGUUACCACCCAGGCCCUACCUGGUAAAAUACUGAGUCCAGUCAGGGUUACAUUGGAACAUCAACUUCUGUUUAUUUAUUGCAGUUUAACAAGCGUGUGGUUUCAUAAACGGUAUCGGUCAAUUAUAAUCAUGGGGUGCCUAUCCAGACCUAUAACUUCCGCUACCUGCUCUCACUCACUAAAACCACCUCUCAGAUGUUUACUUGUCUUCCUAGCUCUGAACUGUUCCUGACUCAGCUUAUUUCACUACACUAACUCAACAUAUCCACAAACUCUAUCCCAAUUCACUCCCACUCCAACUCCCAACGAACUCCUCCCUUCGCCCCUCCCACUGGUGGUUUUAUAGUCCCUCUGACUCCACCCCCCUGGGUUCUGAUUGGGUAACCUGUUUAACUAUUUCACCUCCAGCACUCUCAUAUGUUAACAUCAUAAUGAGCUGCAGAGCUUCACAUGAGGUUUGAAAUAAAUCAGCUUUUCCUUUGACUAGGCCCUCUAGUCCUUUAAGGCUGCAAUCCUAAACAUAGGUAAAGGUAAAGGGACCCCUGACCGUUAAGUUCAGUCACGAACGACUCUGGGGUUGUGGCGCUCAUCUCGCUUUACUGGCCGAGGAAGCCAGUGUUUGUCCACAGACAGCUUCCGGGUCAUGUGGCCAGCAUGACUAAGCCGCUUCUGGUGAACCAGAGCAGCUCACGGAAACGCCGUUUACCUUCCCGCUUAUUUAUCUACCUAUUUAUCUACUUGCACUUUGACGUGCUUUCGAACUGCUAGGUUGGCAGGAGCAAGGACCGAACAACAGGAGCUCACCCAUUGCAGGGAUUCGAACCAUCAACCUUCUGAUCGGCAAGCCCUAGGCUCUGUGGUUUAGACCACAGCGCCACCUGCUUCCCUUACUUACUUACUUACUAGCUAAAAAGUGUCACUGAACUCAGUGUAACUUACUUCUAAGUAAGCAUAAUGAGAUUGUGUUGCACAUGAUUCUAAUUAUUCCCCAUUUAAAUGCUCUCUUUUCUUUAUUUAAUUCCCAUAAAGAGAAUAAUAGGCUGAUUCUUUUUUAGAAGUCAGUCAUUUGAAUGAUUAGUUCAGAAUUUAUAGAGCUGCAAUUGAGAAACUAUUUCUUUUUUUAAAAAAUCUUUUUGUAAUUAAGAAAUAAUAAACCUUAGUUGCACUACUCUUGUAUAUAGCAGACCAAUGUACUGCAGAUAGCAACAUCCAACAAAGCAUAAAGGAUACUAGAAAAAAAUUGCAACACUGUGUUUUGUUGUUGAGCAGAAAUGCCAGAUGUACUAAGAAUAAAGUUUUAAAAAAUGAGAACACACAAUAAAAAUGCUAAAAUGGACAAACAACACAAAAUUUAUUACUGUAUAGUAAAAUUGCAAGACUGCCAUCGUGCUACAAUUUCAAUAGUUGCCAAUAGGUGGCGAUGGCAAAUCCAACAUGACAGCAGCCAUACAACAGGCAGGUGAGCAUGCUGGCAGCAAGUGGCUGAGGUGAGCUGUAUAGAUGAGAGAAGAGGGAAGGGGCUUUGUGCAAAGAGAGGGGGGAGUGGUUGGCCAGGUGUGGGGCAAGGUAGAUUGGCAAGGGGUUGGUAGGUGGGGUUGGCGAGAACAGCAAAUGGGAUGUCAGCCCCUAGUACAUUACCAAAAUAGCACUUGAACUAUGUCAAACAAGCAUAGCUUAGAUGCAGUCUCAAGUUUAUUCAAUUUUAGUACAGUGGUACCUCGGGUUACGAACUUAAUUCGUUCUGGAGGUCCAUUUUUUACCUGAAACUGUGCUUAACCUGAGGCAUGCUUUCGCUAAUGGGGCUUCUCGCUGCUGCCGCGCCACCGGCGCACAAUUUCCAUUUUCAUCCUGGGGCGAAGUUCGUAACCCAAGGUACUACUUCUGGGUUAGCGGAGUUUGUAACCCGAAGCGUUUGUAACCCGAGGUACCACUGUGUAUAACUGUGACAACUGAUGGAGUGAUAUUAUUUGCAUAUUAGUAGGUAGUAUAUAAGAAAUUUGGUUGUGAUUAACCAGCAGCUUACUUGGUUACUUGAGUGAUUAUAUCAGCUUACUUGAGUGAUUAUAUCAAUGUAAUAAUGAAAAUUGGGGGAUAAGGCUGGAGCCAUAUAUUAUUGACGGUUAGCUCCUCCGUAGUCCUGUCUGUUGCUGUGUUGGUUUUCGUUUGUUGCCUAUAAGGCACCUCAGUGGUACCUUGGGUUACAGAUAAGUACCUUCAGGUUACAUACACUUCAGGUUACAGACUCCGCUAACCCAGAAAUAAUACCUCGAGUUAAGAACUUUGCUUCAGGAUGAGAACAGAAAUUGCGUGGCAGCAGCGGGAGGCCCCAUUAGCUAAAGUGGUGCUUCAGGUUAAGAACAGUUCCAGGUUAAGAACAGACUUCCGGAACGAAUUAAGUAUGUAACCAGAGGUACCACUGUAUUGUAAUUCACAACAGGCGUUUAAUCCAUAACGGAGAAACAGCAGGAAUUAUUCCAAGCCUAGCUAUGAACCAAAUGGAAACAUAUUUUGCCUUGUUGACAUUGGAUACUUGAUAGGGUCUGAUCCAUCUCCCCAUUGCUACUCUCCAUCAGCCUACUCCAUGAAAUAGUGGUUGGCUGGAUAAGCAGGUUGGAGAAAAGGGCUUAGAGGCUGAUGGGUGAGCCAGAGGAGGUUGAGUUCUUCUCAGUCAUUAUCUAAACUUGCAUGACUCUUUUAUGACCUUUGCGCCCCCAAAAUGGUUGCUUAAGCCUCUCCUCCUUCCGGAGGGGAGGGAUUGUGAGCGGGAGACGAUUCCCGCAUCAUGCAGGGGGCAUUCUGCCCCCUGCCCUCUCAUCAUUGGUGGCACGCCACGCCUCCCAGUUGGGCACCCAAUCGGGUGCCACCGCGGGGGGCAUGGUUUAGCCGCUCAGAUGCGGCCGUGCCAGCUCCCCCCCCAUUGCUCUUCAGAUUUUCCACGAGUCACCCACCCACCACUCCCACCACUUUAGGGCGUAGCUUCUCGCUCGACCUUGCUAUGGACCCAUGGUUGGUCGCCCUGGUUGCCCAGGGGGCCUGGUAGGAGUUUUUUCCAAUUGGCAAAUUGGCACCGGCCUCUUGGUUUUUUUCGCCUACCUCGUAGCAAUCAUCACAACUUUCUUGGUAUUUGGCGGUUAGGCAUUGGAAUGUGUUGUUGGUGUAUGGAAGGGCAAGGUGUGGCCAUCGCCUACCCCUUCACUUAUGGGUAUUCCGUUAAAGGAAUCAGGCGAUCGUGGAUCCUGUCCGAUACCCUGUGGGGCGGGAGACCAUGGCACGACCCCCGGUGACAUCAGGGGAGAGCUUAUAGUUGUAUUUGCAUCAACAGGCUCCCCCUACUGGUGGUUAACCCCUCAUCAGACUCACCCCUCUCCGAGUGGGUGGAGUCAAAUUUGCUGUGGUCCAAUGCUUAAGCCAAUACCUUCUCACAUGCUGUAAUCAAUAAAAUUGUGGCCUUUUCUUGCCCAUUAACCUAAUAUACUGUGUCCACGUGUCUUCAUUCCCCAAGCGGGGAUCGGGUCAUCGAAUCACAAUGUAAGAUUCUAUGGAAUAUAUAUUUAACAGUUCAAACAGUGAAUAUAACUGAGAAUAUUAGUGUGAACUCCCUAUAUACAAAUAUUCUGUACAGGCACCAUACAAUAGAGAAUACCCUGUAAAAGAGACACCUUAGAACCACCUACACAUGUUCUAGCAACCCUGUGGAAAUUGCUUCAAUUAAAUACUUUGAUUUUAAUAAAAAUGUUCCUAGUAGGUUUCAGAAAUAGCUAUGAGAUCCCCCGGUGGCUUCAAAAUCACCAAUUGGUAUGCAGCUGGUUUUGAAAACAAAUUCGUUCUUCUGAAAACCCUAUUUUUGUAUUGCAGAAAUACAUUACUGUUUGUGUAAUACAAAGUGGGGCUUCGUCAAAAUUGCAUUCUUCAUUUCUUUGGGUUAUUAUAAUCUGAAACAAAAUGCAGAACAACGCAAGUUUAAUUUGAAAGGUUUUAAUCAAGAGAGAGAGAAGUGUUAUUUAGCAAGCAUUUAAGAAAAUCUACAGAUAAACAAGGAUCUUGCUUUGCUGUUGACUUGCCCUCAGUAUUUGAGAAAUGCUUUAUCAUAUGGGCAUGUUUGUGUGCAUCAGAAUUUGCAUUAAUAUUUAUGCUUUUUAGCUCUAUUUUAAAAGGCGGGGAGGGGCAUGGUAACUUGUGUAGCAGGGGUUAGUUAUUGCAUGACUUGCUAUAAUAGCAAGUUUUAAAAUUAAAAAAAACAACAACUAUCCAAUGAACAUGUGUACCUUAUUUUUUGAAAGUGCCAACAUACCUUUAAACAAAUGCUAGCACAUGUCGUAAAAUAUUCAUUUUUUGAGAUUCUUUUUAACCAUUAAAGAGAAAUGAAAACCUGCAGGUUUGGCCUACAAAGCCGCCCCAAAAUUGGUUCAAAUACAUACCUGAUAUAAUACAUGGGCCAAGGAUGUGGAGCGCUUGUGUGUGUGUGUGUGUGUGUGUGUGUGUGCAGUUGCCGUUCAGUUUCCUAUUGUGUGGUAUGUGAAGGGUGUCUGAGUGAAAGAUCCUAACUACCAAACCAAAUCCAUUGCUUGGAAAUAAGUUUACUGAAUUGCAUCGGGUCUUUCUUCCAUUCAGGAUCAUGGUGUAAAUACUGCAGUUCAGCAAAUAACCAAUUUGCUGCUGAAAAAUACAUGGUUAGUUUUAGGGAAAGCUGCUGUUGAUGUUUUCGUGGGAUAUCUAGCUUCACUGCAGAUAGUGGUGUAGCCAUCAUUCCUCUCUUUACAUGGGUCCCUCAGAAGUUUUAUUGUCUAAUGUUUGGGAUGUAAAGCUCAGCACCUGGGGAAUUUGAUAUUUCAUGAGGGAUGCUGUUGGCUUUUGAAGGUAUCUGGUGCUGACUGACUGCUGACAGAAGGGAAUCCAUCCGAGGAACAGGGAAGGAGGUAAUUAUUGGCGCGUGCGUGCGUGCGCGCGCACACACACACACACACACCAUGCCUCCUACAGCAUCCUGCAGCUCCAUCUCAAAGCAGUCCCUCAAUUCUCCAAACCAGACUUAGAGUUGUGGGGGAUCACCAAAAUAAUAUUAAUAUUAAUAUUAUUAUUAAUAAUAAUAAUUGUUAAGUUGUGGGUGAACAUAUCAGACGACACAGCGAUUCUUCAAACAGCUCUUGUUUAUUCAGAGGCCAGAACAGAACUGAACUGAAGGGCUCAGUCAGCCUACUUAUAUAGAGCUCCAGUACAACGUUACUGUAGCAACUUUCUAAAACUAUCCAAUCACUGAACGUCACUUUCGAUCCUUCAUUUGCAUAAAAACUAUCCAAUCACUGAACGUCACUUUCGAUCCUUCAUUUGCAUAACUAUCUACAGUAUCCCCCUGCUGGCCCAGUGAGAACUUCAGUACAUAACAACAACAACAACAAUAAUAAUAAAUGCUAAUUGAAUGCUGUAAUUGCUCAAGAAGACAGCUCUUACCCUGGUCAGAAAGAGGAAGGAGAGGGUCACAAUAAAUGGAUCGUUUCAGCAGUUGUUAAACACGAAGCCACCAGUGUCAUGUGAGAAGAAUAUAGUGGUAGCAGUUUAUUUAUUUCAGUGGGUUUGUAAUCUUAACAAAAUAAAUACAUACAUACAUACAUACACACAUACAUACAUACAUACUUCAAUUUAUUUGCCUCUCCACAGUUCAAACACUGCUCAAGGCGGCUGACAGCAUAAAAAGAAUACAUAACUACAACAUAACAAAAGUGGACACAGACAGUAAAUUAAUCAUUAAAAAAGUACAAAACCAUGCUGGACAAUUUCCACAUGAAUCACAACAAAAUCUAAAAUAAAGAUACAAAAAAGAAACAGCAACACCUGUCCCUCCUAAACAAAACCCCACUCUGCAUAGAAAGAUCUUACCCAUCUGGUAUGGGCACCAUAAAAUAUUUAGAAAAUUCUUCAUGGAAAGGUUAUUUGUUUUCUAAAAAGGGGAAAUGGGUGAACCUUCUGGUAACUCGAGGCAAAAACUAUUGACGUUGGCGAUUCUUUAGCAGUAUUGGUUUGCUGUACAAGCAGAGACAAUACAAAAAUACAGAUUUUGAUGCACCUGUUAGUGCAGAUAUUAAUUUUUCCAUAUGAACAAUGAUCUUUCAAUCCCAGCAGCUUAAGGUUUCUAAAUCUAGCAACCCUUUGAUUGUAAGCUACAGGAUUUGUGUAGUGUUGCUGUAAUGUUAUACUGAUUCAAAAGAUCAAGUGAGAGAAGCCAAAAUAGAAAGGCUGGGGAGGGGACAGGUAUAAAUGAUGUUUUCUUGCUAAAUGUAUAUACGUCAACCAGGAAAAUAUCACAAUAACCAACCCAGUUUUUUGCCUUCAGCCUGUCUGAGGUCAUGUGGGUUGGAGUCUGACCACUAGUCCAAAAAGGAAAGGCUGUUUGCAAGAGUUCUGCGGUGUGUUUUCCUGGAAAAGGUGAGAGGAUAAAAGCAGAACUCUCAAAUAAACCUCGUGCCCUAUGUGAGACUUUAUACACAGACCUUUUGUUUAACUGCUGGAGGCAGAUGUUCUUUUCAUUUACCUCUCAAAUUGGUAGGUUAAAAAACAAAUAAAUUUCAUGCUCUGCUUGAAUGAAGUGAAAGUAAUCCUGUUGUUCUCUGUUUUGCUUGCUAGUGUUUGCUGGUUAAUAUUUUCUUGACCGUCAAUAGUAAACAUUCUAAAUAUUGAGGAAACGUGAUAAUACCAAAGGAAUUAUUGCUUUACUGUUUAGAAUUCGGGUUUGCAUGACACAGCUGUAAUCUACCGUUAUGCUGAGGUAGAUUCUAUAAACUGAGGGGGAAUGCUUUUUUAAAAAAGCAAGCCUUGCUUCAUUAGUGUUCCAGUAAUCAGUUCUUUUAAUUUUCUAAUAUCUAUAUGGUUUUUUUGGUUCUACCUUGUGUAUAUGCAUUUUAAAAUGUUUCUUGUCUGCUUCCCUACAAUCUUUUAUCUGUUUUUAAUAAAAUAGGUUAUAUUUUGCCUUUAUUUUACAGUAAUUUCUAUUGUUGUUUUUUUAUUUAUUAGCUUCCUCCUUUUAAAAAUCGAUAUCUAAUUAUAUUGAUCAUAAAUACCUGUUUAGUGAUGGUAUCACUAGAGGGCAGUAUUGAUUAAAUUAGUCUACUGAAUAAUCAGAACAUGACCUUGCAUCUUAAACAGAAAACACCUGUUAUAAAUCAUAUUUAUUCACUGCGCUGUACUAUACUGUGUCUGAAUGAGGCUGCAUUUCAGAGUAUUGUGUGUACAAUAUGUUAAGAGCUUCCAUUCUUUUUUCUGAAAAUGUUUAUUGAACUUUCUUUACCCAGUUAAGGCCAAGACAAAUAUUUUAUAUUUUUGGAGGUGAUGGCAGUGGAGAUCAGUAAAUAGCCGGCACUAGUCUAAAACGUCUGUUGAUCAAGUUUGCGGUUAAGAUAUGUACUCAUUUGUUCUUAUUGACUUGCAGGUCUCCUGACAAAUGCAUCAACAGAGAAGCCUUGUAGGAGUUUUUAAGCUCUGCGUGGGCUACAUUCCCUAGUCAAGUUUCACGGCUGUGGAUCAUCCAUUAUAUGUCAUCAACUCAACUGUCUGUUUCUCUGUAUUUCAUCAAAGACAGCAUAAUUCUACGUUAUGAGCUAAAGUCUGUUCUACCAUACUAAAGAGCACUGGACUAAGGAAGAGAGAGAGAUAAAUGCUUGGGCAUUAGCAAUACGAAAACAAAACAAAACACCAGUUCACAGUUAACGUCUCAUCUGCGUUUUGCGCCACUGCUGAACUUGAUCUGUGGUCAUGUUUCAACGGGACGAGUCAACUACACUGGAGAGUAUUCAUCCCAAUCAGCCUUAGAGAAGACUGUUUUGUCUACGGGAGGACACUAAGGUGCAGAAGGCAAUUUCUUCUUGUGCCCUAGACUGCCUAAUUGCUUUUAUUUUCUUAUGUUUCAGUAUAUACAAUAGACCAAAGAGCAAAAUCUAUUUUAAAGUGGACACGAUGUUACUGUUAACAAGGUUAUUUGGGUUCAGUAGUAUGGGGACCACCUUGCACGGAUUCAACUCGCCCAGUGCUGCAAUAUUGCCGUCCAGCAAAAGUCCUUGUGGAACACUGCAGAAAAGGCUGGAACUGCUCUUGGGGAAAGGUACACGGAAAAACACGAGGGAACAAGGAGGGGAAACGGCCGUUCUUCAACAAGAAAACAGAACUUUGAUCAAAAACAACACAAACUGUCUACGCACCACCUUUACUCCUCUGUGCUUAGAUUGACUUCUCGUACUAAAAAUCAUUUUGAGUUUAACCAGUUCAACAUGCCUCUUCUAUGGUUCCAUUUUUUGAUCGUUAAAAGUUGGAUAAUACAGUAUUUGCAAAGAGCAUGUUUGGUCAUCUGUGGCCUAUGUCUCAUCUGAUACACCAUUUAGCACCAGAAAGCAA